GCCAGACCCGCCAGCACGCUCGCCUGAUCAACCUGCUGGGUGUCAAGCAGCUGAUUGUGGGUGUGAACAAGAUGGACUCCGACACUGCCGGCUACAAGAAGGAGCGCUACGAUGAGAUUGCCAACGAGAUGCGCCACAUGCUGGUGCGCGUGGGCUGGAAGGACGACUUCGUCAACAAGUCGGUGCCCAUCCUGCCCAUCUCCGGCUGGCUGGGUGACAACCUGAUCACCAAGGUGAGGAGCUCGGAAAACGGCCUGCGUAUGCGUAUGGGGUAGCAGCUGGGGAUCCUUCAAUGUAGGCAGUAAACGGGACGGAAAUGGCUGGUUGCUGAUGCUGCUUUGCGCGGGGCUGUCAAAGAAGGCUACGACAGUCCGUUUAGACUUGCCCUUCCGGCACCUGACGUGAUGCUGACCGUUUCGUGCCCCUCUCCUUUCCCUCCCUGCAGUCCACCAACAUGACCUGGUACUCCGGCCAGGAGGUGGUCAACCUGAAGGGCGAGAAGAUCCAGGUGCACACCCUGCUGGACGCCCUGAACAGCUUCGUGGUCGUGCCCGAGCGCAAGACCGACGCUCCCCUGCGUCUGCCCAUCUCCGGCGCCUACAAGAUCAAGGGUGUCGGUGAUGUGCUGGCCGGCCGCGUCGAGCAGGGCGUGGUCAAGCCCGGUGAUGAGGUGAUCUUCCUGCCCACCCACACCACCGCCAACCCCUGCACCGGCAAGGUGUUCACCGUGGAGAUGCACCACAAGCGUGUGGACAAGGCCGGCCCCGGCGACAACGUCGGCAUGAACAUCAAGGGUCUGGACAAGGGCAACAUGCCCCGCACCGGUGACGUGAUGAUCCUGAAGUCGGACCAGACCCUGAAGAUUGUCAAGGACUUCACCGCCCAGAUUCAGACCCUGGACAUCCCCGGUGAGGUCAAGAAGGGCUACUCGCCCAUCGGCUUCGUGCGCUGCGGCCGCUCCGCCUGCCGCAUCAGCGGCAUCAACUGGAAGGUCGGCAAGGAGACCGGCGGCAAGAAGAUGGAGAACCCCGUCGGCCUGAAGGCUAACGAGAUGGCUGAGGUCGUCUACGAGCCCACCCAGCCCCUGAUCGUGGACUCCUUCAAGAACUGCGAGGGCCUGUCCCGCAUUGCCUUCCUGGACGGCAACACCGCCGUCAUGCUCGGCAAGGUGGUGUCCGUCACCCACAAGUAAAUGGACGGCUAGCAGUGGCUGCGGCAGAGGCGGCCUGAGCUAGGCACCUUGGCGGGGCGGGCGGCGGACACGCUAAUGCAUUAUGCGCGCGCGGCGUGGACGCGGCUGGUCACGAUCGGGGUGCUACCCACGGCAAUGGCUGCUGCGGUGGAGCAGGAUGCUUGAGAGCAAGCACAGGUUGGGGUGGUACAGGGUCGCUUGGAAGCGGUGUCGGAGUGAGUGCUGCGCGGGGUGUCUGACGGUUUGACUUCUCAGGCCUUGCAUGCAAAAGACGCGGAAUGACUUGAGAGUGGCGUACGUCCAGACGUGGACGGUGUUAGCUAAGUAGCGACUGGUAGGACGGAUUUCGGAAGAAGCCAACUGACGGAGUGGUCCCUACAUGUAUUUGGGUGCCCUGAGCGGAUUCGGGAAACAACCUCGUGUCGCUGAAGCAUGAAACACUGUAACGGUGCGUGAGGCGAAAUCGUAAUGGAGGUCGAAGCCGACUGGGUUCGGGAAAAGCACUAACACGGGGAAAUAGCCUGGCAGCGUAUUGCGAAUGGGGAUGAUACCAGGGGAGAGAAAUACGAGGUUUGGGCGCGGGUAAACGCAGCCGAAGACCUGGUGGGCCAGUCGGGACCGGGGCGUCUGGGACCAGUCAGGACGAGCCGUUAGAUGCACCAGUGCAAGGGUUUCUGACGGGCUUGUUUCGUAGUGUUGAGCCAAUGUACAUGCACGGUUGUAUCACCACCGUGGCCUUGCACAAUACCGUGCCAUUAAUGCAUUCCAGCUCAGUAAGCUAGCUGACGCACCCGCACCGCAGACCCGCUACUAUGCACAGCUGGUCAGCUACCACGGGCGGGUAACCACCAGCUGCUCAUACCCGUGUCAGCUCCCGCAGCUGCGCAGUACUCGCCUGAUCUGCGCGUUUACUCGUAUCCGACGCAGCCACGCCCCGGUCUGAAGCCGUUGAGUGCCGUCCCACUCCCACUCCGCUCCGCUUCAAUUUGCCUCAACCCACAAGUAUCCGCCACUCCAGCCCACAUGACCACACGUCUCAUAUGUCCACGAUCACAAACACCUCUGCGUCGCCCUCCUGUUCCGAAAUAGACAUGGCGCUGUAGGUGAUGGCCUUGAUCUCCGUGCCCACCUCGUGCAGCGAGCGGUCGAAGCGCUCGCCGUGCCUGUGUGCGUGUGUGUGUGGCCCGGGUGUUUGGAGUUGGCGAGGUUGGGAACACGUGGGCGGCGGGAUGGAGCACAGGUACUGGGCUUCCUCGACACCGCUGCGUGGAUGCUCCCCCAGCUAGCAAGGGGCCCCUCCUUUCCCCUUGACGACCUUCCCCACGCCGGCCUACCUAGGGGCCCCUCACACCGUCCCUCCCCUCACUAGCACCCGUGCCCUCCCCUCCGCCGCCCCAGUGCCCCACCCGGCCCCGCCCCUGCCUUCCACUGCCCGGCCCCGCCCCCACGCCCACCCCGUCACGCACCCCUCUGCCUCAAUGACGAAAGCCUCCCGAUCGAAUUUGGUGAUCCGCACCCGGCCCGCCAGGAACAGCUCUGUGUUGAACUCGAACAGCAGCUCGUCCAGAAAGGCGAACAGCAGCGAGGGCAGGUCGUGCCCUUCGGCGCGGUACGCCCUGGGUGCCCGUGUGUGUUGUGGGUGGCAAAGGGGGGCGAGGGGUUUAGAGGGGCGCUGCGCGAGGCUGCCAGGUGCUGCCCGCACUUGAUCCUGUGCACCGUGCGCCUUCACCCAACUUGCAGCCCCCUCACCCACCACUCCGAACCCCCCACCUCCCCGGCCGCUCAUUCGGUAACGCCUUCGUCUGCAGUCCGCAGUGCUUCCUGUACCGCUUUUCCAACCAUAUGUGCAACCCCUCACCUCCCCGCUCCCCUCUCUUCCUCCCCCCAAUCUGCCCCGCCCCACCCACCACUGUCGCCACGCCAUGCCAACCGCAACACCCGCCCCCCACCUUGUCUCCCGCAGCCGCACGUGCUCCAGCGGGGACAUGUAGUUGAACAUCGCCAGGCCGCACUGUUCGAACGCCUCGCCCAGGUCGGAGCCCCCUACAGAUGCCGAGCGGGGAGGGGUGGGGCGCGUUCAGCAGCACACGGGGCAGUGAGCUCAAAGGCUGCUCGCUCUGGCCUACGGUAGCACCGUGAGAGCAAGUGCCGUUGCCCAAACACACUAGCCCUUGGCCCGUGUAACCCGGUGCAGGGGCGUGACUCACAUGCGUGCAACUGCACGUCCGCUGUAUGGUCCAAAUCUGCAUGGCAAGGAUCCAAAUGCUUGUAAGGUCAGCAGGGGAGUGCCAAAUCGGUUGCCUGCAUUACCCUUGCGCUUCGAUAUCCCGCACGGUUUGGCCAGUGCCUAACAGGCCCAGUGGCCCUGGUCCUGUACCCCCCCGCCCAUGUUCGCCGAACCCCUUCCGCCCCUACCGAGGACGUCCCAAGAAACGAAACCAUGUGUCUUGGCUUUCGCUGUCACUUCAAGUAGCCGUUUUCCGCCUACUGUGCAAGGUGUGCCGCUUCUACCCAUCAGGUUGUCGGUUCCCCAAUCCCUACCUCGCCUAACCCACCCCGAAUUCCUGGCUCGCCACAAGCUGGGGAUAGCAAGCGGCUACAUCCUAUCUCCUGACAACCCGCAGCACUCACAUUCGAACUUGUAGUCACCGACCGCCGCCGAUCGGUACUCCGGCAGGGGCUCCAACGUCGUGACGGCUCCCACCUCCACACAAACCCCGGAUACCCCUGAGUCCUUUCCUAACCCUGGAUCUGACUUUGUGUCACGGCUAGCAGAUCUUGAUUCGGGCCUUCUUGGGGUCCCGGCGGGGGCAGCUUUGCUGCGGCCUUCCCCCAGGCCAGCCCCGUGCUCCUCACGUCCUUGCCGCCCAGACGCCGACGGUGCCUGCGCCGCGCCGUCCUCAAUCCCUGAAGCAGCCUCUGUGCCUUGCUGUACUUGGUGUUGCUGCUCUCUCCGUCGCUGGCGCGAGUUGAGGCGCUGCGGUAGGGCGUCCUCUUCGCCACCCAUGGGACGCCAGGCCUGACGCCGGGCCCCGCCUUUUGCCUCGGUGCACGUUCAAGCCCGUGCAGCCGUUCCCAGUAUGUAGGGUGCCUUGAUGGAUGUCCCUUUUGUUGACAGUGCACUCCGUAACCAGUUUAAGCAGUUAGCACUGAGUUUCCUACCUGGCUGUGCGAUGUGCGGAAGUAAGUUCUCUCGUCUACAAGAAGAGCGUGUUCUGUAUUUCGGUAGUCUUUCAGAAGUAUUGUGGCUGUGCAAGAUUACUUUGUUGACGCCCUCGUGACAGCAAAAGGUGGGCCAGCUUCGGUGCCCUAACUGUGCUUACGCCCGCGAUUGCACGCCACCUUCACCAACCCCUCUUCUCAUGAGGAGCUACGCGUCGUAUUUAGACUUUGUAUGUACAUAAGUCGACAGCGUCUGCUAUACUAAUCAGCGCGUUGCCUGAAACAGAUAGCGACAACUUCACUUCAUACCUUUGCGCUCGUUUAACCGAAGGAACUUUCAAGCACUAGCUUAAGCCUGUUGAAUAACUAUUCACUAGACAACAUUUGCCACACAUAGCUUCAACCAGCGGACGCAGCAGGAUGACCAUCGCACAGAAAUUGCCAGCGCUUUCGGCAGUCGCAAACGCGGUAUUGAAAUCGCCUGAGGGAGCGGAGGUGGUUGCCAAGACGCUUUGGGCGUCGCAGCCAGUCGCUGUGCUGGUGCUCCGACGACCAGGCUGCGGUGGGUGGUUGCGGUGGCGCGUGGCGUGUGCGGGUGUGAGCUCGUCUGCGGCGUUGGGGUUACGCCAGUCCCGGCUCCCGGCUCCCGGCCGCCACGCUGCGCCUGGGCCAGCCAUAUGAGGACGUAGGCUUGUUGUUGCACGGGGCAGCACUUUGCAGUCUUUGGCGGGUCAACGGGAAAACCAGGGAAGUCGCACAGGCGCGAGGGGUUAGCAGGGCAAGGCGGCACCUGGUUGCCAGCUGCGCGCGGCAGCUCCGCUUAUCACACAUCAAACUCCUCAAACUCUUCUAGACUGCAUAUGACUUGGCUGUCUGGCUGCCGACAACGGAGCAGCUCCCACUCCGGUCCUCCUCCCUCUUCCUCCGCCCUUGCCCGCCUAAUCCCAUCCCACCUGCUGACCCCACGCCCCCUCCCCCGCAGUGCUAUGUCGCGACGAGGCCCAAAGGCUGUGGGCGCUCAAGCCCGAGUUCGACAAGCUCGGCGUGGGCCUGGUGUGCGUGGUGCACGAAUGGAUCCAGCGCGAGGUGAGUCUCGGCCCUGUGUUAGCGAGGUGGCUAGUGGCGGUGAUGCGUUGUGCCCGCGCGUGGCUAGCUAGUGGGCGUGUCCGGUGGUGGCUGGCGUUGGGUGCCUGGGCUCAGCGGCAAGCCCUCGCUGCAAGCACACAUGCGGUACAAUUUGGGUUCCAUGCCUGUGACCGCUGCCUGUGGUUAUCCCGUGACGCGUGUCUUCCAGCCCUCUGCCCUCUCGCCCUGCUCACCCGCCCUCCCAACCCGCCCUCUUCAUCCGCCUCCCUCCAAACCACAGAUUGACGCCUUCGCCCCCGCCUUCUGGCCCGGCCCGCUCUUCCACGACACCUCCAAGUCCUUCUACGCAGCCCUCAACGGCGGCACGCCGCUCCGCGGCAGCCUGCUGCCCAUGGCCAACCCCUUCGGCGCCGUGUGGGCGCGCAUCCGCGCCGCCAGCCGCAACGUCAAGGAGCACAACGUCGUAGGCGACGGCCUGACGAUGGGCGGGCUGCUGAUGAUGCGCGCGGGCGAGGGCGGCCCGGCGUGGCUGCACCUGGAGACGGAGAUUGGGCUGGUGGCGGAGCCGGAGGUGGUGCUGGGCGCGGCCCAGCGCAUGAUGGCGGCGUAGGAGGCCGCUGGAGCGGUGCAGGAUGGGAGGGUUAGGUGUGGGAGUGCGACUGAGUGAGAGCGAGAGUGGGGUGUGAGGAGUGGUGCGAGCGGAGUUGUUGAGCGUGUGCGUUCGAAGGUUUGCGGGCGUAACACUUCCUGCAGGAGUUGACAGGUGCUGUCCACAGCUUAUGUGCAGGCUUAUUUUGGUUGCGUUGCAUGUAUUAAAUGACGUGUCGUUUGCAAUUGUGACACUAUGUUGACCAAGACCAUGCGACGUGCCAUGCGGUGACUGACAGUGGCUGAUCGUGGUUGACAAACUGCUGAGUACAGGUUUUGCCAUUUUGUAAGUUUGACACCGCGUUGACGUUGUUACAAGGAGCGGGUCAGUGCACGCCAUUCUUUGCACGCAUUGUUCUGGAAAGCGACGUUGAGAUUAACGGACUGUGCGGAUCGUUACCGUGUUCGGCGUCGGGCCACCAUUCGUGCACGUGGUACAUAGAAUUUGUGGGUGGCCGCCGCGCGCCAUACCUGAGCAAGCACGUGCCCGUGCCAAACACAUUGUAACUCAAUCGGAACUUUGAUACCACACCAAGCCGUACGUCACGAACCCAAUCGCCGUUCCACUUGAGCAGUCCUCAUGGGUGUAUCAGCCUUUCCACUUCUACCCAGCAGACAGCCUUGAAACGCACCCGUCCGUCUUGGGAUCCAGUCCGUCCUAGUACCUAGCGCGCCCUGUGCCCACGGCGCACAGCUAUUCAGUAUCUGCGCUGCCACCAUCGUGGCCGUUUGCAGCCGCGCCCGCCGUGCCGGCCGAACCAGAGGAGGCGAGGAUGCUGUUGAGGAUGCGGGUGGUGCGCGCGGAGAAGCGGCGCAGGCGGCCCUGCUCGUCCCGGCCCCAGGAGCCGGUGGCGCUGCGGCCUGCAGGUGGGGCAUGUGGGGUAGUCAGACUGCCAGAGCCAGGUAGGAUGAACGUGCGUGCAACCUGCAUUUUGGCACCACGCUCAGUGCCGACCAAGCAUGGGAAUCAUGAUAGCAUCAUGCUGGCGGGACUUACAUCUCAACCCAGUUUUACCCUAGUCGCCGCACCCCAGCGUCAGAUGGCAGGGCAAAAGGCAGCGCAAUCACCCCGGCUUGAGGCGCACACGACCCUCGCACCUGCGGCAAGCAGCUUCAGGACGCUGGGCGACAGCUGCGCCAGGGUCGAGGCAAAGCCGCCGCUGCCGCCACCCCCACUGCCGCUGCCAGCCGCCGCCAGCUCCGCCAGAAAGGCUGCGCCCUCGCUUUCCUCGCUCGCCGCGAUCGCGCCGCCCUCGCCGCCGCCUGCCGCACCACCCAUGUGAUGCCGCCACCUCAGCAGGCUGUCGGUGCCGCCUCCGCCGCCACCCCCAUCGCCGCCCUCCCCACCACGGGCCUCCCCCGAUCCCUCCAGCAUACCGCCCGCCGCCGCCACUGCCGUAGCGCCGCCAGCGCCGCCGCCACUGCCAUACUCGUACCCGCCUCGGCCCUCCUCAGCAAUGGGGCUGCCUGCGGGCGCGUAGCGUCCGGGUGCGCCGAGCCGCCGUGCGCGACGCAGCGGCGUGCUCAGCAAGUUGCCCAGUCCUGACGCUGUGCGCUGCAACAGGCCGCCUGUGCCCCCCUCGCGCCCAGGGCUGCCGCUGCCGUCAGCGCCGCCGUGCGUGCCGCCUCCUGAGGAAUACGAUGGUGCUUGCAGGUGCUGCGGGUGCUGUGUGCCGAGCGCCUCCUCGCCGUACCCGUGGUACGCUCCCACACCAUGCCGCUCCUCCGCACCUGCCGGGACGUCUGCGCCGGGCCCCAGGAGAUCUUGUGCCUCCACAGCGGCGCGUGCGUUGCUGCGCCCGCGGCCGCUGGCCGCUGCUACAGUCGCUGCCACAGCGGCUGCAGCAAGGGCCCCGGACACGGCACCACACACCAGGCUGCGCCAGCACCAGCCGCCCCCUGGCAUGGUGACACCUGCCGCGGCGGCCGAGGCACCUGCUGCUGCCGCUGUCAGCGCUUCUCCUGGGGAAAGGCUGUCUUCGCUGCUGCGCUCAUCACCCGCCCGCAACACGUGCGCUGCUGGCUCACCGUCACGAGCUGCGCUGGCGCCGGAACGCUGCCCCUGCCGGUGCCCCUGCCGUGGCGGCAGCAGGCGCCCUUUGCCGUCACUCCCCAUACUGCCGCUACUGCCGCUGCCACCGGAUGACACAGCAGCGCCGCGGCCACCAAUGACGUCUUGCGGGCUCAUUAUGAUGAGUGCAGGGCACUGGCUCAGUGGGUCGAGGGCAGACGUGUCGGGCCUGCCGCUACUACCGCUACUGCCGCUACUGCCGGUGAUGGCGGCCAGGUGCAGAGGCGGGCAGGAGUGCCCAGGCCCGCGCCGCGCUGUUGCCGCGUACCCGCCGCCGCCAGCUGCAGACUGCUGUCCAUCGAGGUGCUCGCCAGCGUGCAGGUGAGCCCAGUGGUGGCACGCCGCAGCCACACACUGCGCCUGCACAGCAGCUGCCGCGGCGGCGGUGUGUGUCUGCUGGUGCUGUGGUGUCAAGUGGCGCACUGCCGCCACGCCGCCGUCCCUUCCACCCUCUCCAGCAUUCACAGGGAUGCGGCGAUCUCCCGGCGACGUGGCAGCGUGCCAGCGUGGGGCCGCCAGGCCAGGCGGCGGCCACGCAUGCCCUGGCGCCGUCGUAUGCGGCUCUGCCACAGCGUUGUGUCCUGGUGCUACAGCCGCUGCUGUUUGCAGCUGCUGCCUGGCCGCCGCCAGCUGCUGCGGCUGCGGGUCUGCGGAAGGCGGCGGCGGCGGCGGGCCCAGUACCGCCGCCAGGUGGGGAGCAGCGGCGUCCAGGGUGAGGCGGACCUCAAGCCCACCUGUGUGCGUGCACGAGUGCGCGUGCAGGGUUAUCAUUGCAGUAGCAUAUGUGCAUAGGACACACACACACACACACACACACACACACACACACACACACACAGUCACACACCGGCAACACCACCACAUGAGGGGCACGACCUCCCCUGCGAGCCCCAGUGCCUGGCGACCCGCCCAGACCCACGUGCCCCAAGCUCCACGGCCCCACCUGCUGUGUCGCCAGAGGCAACGAAGGCGGCCGUGCGGCCUGCCGUCCCGGGCAGCGCCUGCAGCUCCAGCACCAGCAGCACCUGGAGCCCGCCUGCCUCCUUCCCCAGUCCCUGCUCCUGCUGCUGCAACUGCUGCUGCUGAUGUCCCGUAGUGAUGCGCUCUGCGGGUGCGCAGCAACCAGGCAACACCUUCACGUUUCUCCCGGCCCUUAACAAAUCGGCCCGGCUAGAUCGGUAGAUCGGCCAGUACCCUAGUACACACGCCGCCCUUACCGACCCCCCCUCUCACGGGCUAGUGGGAGCAGGAAGGUGUACGGCAGGCGCGCUGUCAGGGGCUGUGAGGCCCCGGCGGCGGCCUCAGCCGCGGCGCUCCGCAGUGCUGCCGCCAUGGCAGCUGGGGGGAUGGCCUCCCAGGCCUGCAGCGCAGGGGUUGUGCGGGGUGUGAAGCGUGCAGGGCAGCAGAGCCGGCACCAGCAGCUGUCAGGUGCACGGGCACGCGCACGCCCACGCCUGCAAUCCUCCUUUGCAUGCAAAGCACACGGCACCGUGUCCUCGCAUCACCCGUACAUCUGCUGCUGUAGCCCCGGUGUCGCGGUGUGUAACUCCCCACCCACCCAGUCACCCAAGCUUUGCGGCUUCCAAGGUGCGUGUCAAACCGGGCGCACCAACCCACCUGUGCCACCACCUGGCCGCCCCGCCGCACGGUGGCGACCAGCUGGCUGCUGGAGCUGCUGCUGCCACCUCCACUGCCACCGCCGCCCCCAGCAGUCGUCACAGCAGCAGAUGCCGCCAGCACCGAUAGCGCCUGCUCCCAAACGCCAUUGCCACGGUCUCGCGGCUCGACCACCUGGUCAGCAGGCUGAGGCGCCAGGGAAGCGGCAAGCUGCGCGGACGAAGCCUCCGCCGGGUUGGGGGUGGGCGGGAGGGGCGCUGCUUCACCACCCGGCACCAAUGGUCCUCCCUCCGCAGCCGACUGAGCAGCCCCAGCUUUUGCGAUUGUGGCACUGUGGGCUGUGUGCUGCUGCGUCGCUCUCGGCGGCACAAACAACGCGGCGCCCAAGAGCACCUCCCUGAGGGGCCAGCAGGGAGCAACGAGCGGCGCAUUGUUGUGGUCUGUCCAAAGGCUUGCAGCGCAGCGACAAGCACGUCAUCACCCAAGGCGUAGAAAGCUCACCCGUGCAGCAGCAAGUGGGUGUUGGCUUCGAAGAGCGCCGCGGAGCCACUGCCGCUCGCGCCAGGCAAACGCUGCUGCGAUGCUCUGCCGCCUUCAUACUCGCUGCUGCUACUCAACAGGCUUGCGUCCUGAGAGACAGCCGGGUCCGCAAGCAGCAGCAGGGUGGCGAGAGCAAAAAGCGCGGGAACAUGUUGUGGGGCCUCCAGCUUGCGCAUGUUGGCCUCCACAGCCUUUUAAUGAGUUGCGUAUGUACAGUAGCUGUGAUUACAACAGUAUGGCUAGUUCUAAUUCGCAGCUUGGCAAUCACGCCAGGCUCCGACGACCUCGCCCUUCUCCGUGACCCCUCCGCCUGCUGCCACCACCCGCCGCCUCGGGGGUGGCCUCGCUUCCCUUCCCUUCCCGCUCGCACACAGGUGCAUGCAACGAGGGUGCGCAUUGCCGUACACGGUGACGCCUGCGUCCUUGCAAGGGCCUCUUCCCUGGUUGCCAUGGCAGGGGCCGAACCCGCGUUCAUUGUGCACGUGUGCCGAUGCUUGCAUGCGGUCCGCCCGACCUGGCCUGGCCUGGCCCGCCGCCUACACACGCGCUCCAUACUACCAGUAUCCUCCAUAUCGCCUGUGCUGCGUGUGCCUACGUGGAAUACACUGCACACGACGGGACCACGUCAACCUGCCCAUUACCCUAUCCCAUCGCACCAACUCCUUAUCCAUGCGUUCGCCACCCGUGCGCCACCACCGCCAUGCCAAAUGCUUCCUACCGCUUGCGGCUGCAGCUGCUGCCGCACGGGGGGCGGGCCGGGGCUCCUGCAGACACCUGCCUGCAAUGGGGCAGCGGGCAUCAGGCAUCAGGUGCAGUCGGGCGUCGGCGUGCUAGAUUUUGCACCGUCAAGCCUCAUGGCACCCAUCCCCACCUGCUGCUCCUGAGUGCGGGUCCGGGCGCGCCUGUGAGGCGAGGUGCGUGUGUCGCGCAAUGUCGCGCAAUGUCGGUGCAACCUGUGGGCACAGGCCAGAGCGCGGCCACAUGGGGCCAGAGUGGGAGUUAGUGGGAGUAAGGUCGAUAGGCCAGUUGCUAGCAGCCUUGGCACCCAUCGCCGUUUGCAUGGCACACCGAGACAUAUGCCGUUGAUCCGCGCGCCCCCCAGGGCUGCAUGCCACACAUGCUACCGUCCCGUACGGAGCGCGGCAUACCUGCGGCGUGCCUGCGGCAUGUAGCUAUUACUCCGGAAAGCCCGCACGUGGUUAGAAGCCUGGUGAGUCCCACACGUGGGUCUCUGGCCCGGGCAGCAGGGCGGGUGGCUGGCAGGAUCGGGGCGCGUGGCCGCGAGGCCGCCCCCCCCACCCUUCCCCACAGCCAGUCGUCCAGCGGCUGCGGCAACCCGGCACCAGCGAGCAGGUCAACACUCCCACGCGCUCCCACAUGCACCUCUACCCCCUCAACGACCUGUCCCAGCCCGUUGAGUGUGGGCUCCCCUCCCCUUCCCUCCGUUCCUUGCGUCCUGUCGCAUCACUGACACGUCUGGCCUCUCCCAGCCUCUCCCUACCAAGCUCCCCAAUAAAACGCAGUCAACCACACAUGUCGUUUCCCUUCACCACUUCCUGUUUUUCCUCCUAUGUUUUGCAUAAAGAUGCCCUGCCCCCUGAUCCCCUCACGCCGCCUCGUACAGCUUGCGCACGUGGUCCAGCCCCGCGCCCAGCCCGGACACCGGGCAGCGGCCGUGUGCCAGCACGUGCGCGAAGGCGCAGGGGUAGCAGAACACGUAGCCGCUGGUGGCCAGCGUGGCGGGGUUGGUGGUGCGCUUCCUGUCAGGUGGGCGAGUGUGCGCGUUGUGUGGCGUGUGGUGCGGCGGGUUGCGGCGUGUUGUGGUCGGACACAGGAGCGGUUGUGCGUUCAGAAUGCGUGGAGGUUCACUGCAACAACAUACCCGACACGCCACGAUGCCGCAACAUGCAAGUCGCAUCAUCGUCAUAAGCAACUACAUGCGUGCUUUCUUUUAUCCUGCUGCGCAUGCGCGCACCUGCAAAUUGGGCAGUCGGAGGGGUCGGCUGGCAGUCCCACACCCAGAGGCGGCGGCAGCGGGCGCGGCGGCGGCGGCGGGGGCGGCAGUGGCAGCACCUUGCCCUUGGCCAGCGUGUCCUCAGCCGCCGUGUACCACCACUCCAGCGCCUGAGGGAGAAUGAAAGCAUGGGGAGGUUGAUGGGAAUGAUGGGAGAGUGAUGGGGAUAAUGGGAAGUGAUGUGGGAUUCACGAGACAGCUUGAGAGACAGGCCCCCUCCGCGCUUGAGCAAGGGGGUGCACGUGUAGGCGCGUGAAGGGUGCUGCAGGCGCAUCGGUGCGCUCAAGCCUGCCGCCUGCGCCCAACGCCCCUACCCCUCCGCACUCGCCCCUGCCCACACCCAACACAGCCAAGCCGCCGCCGCCACCGCCACCGCCGCCGCCUGUGCCGCACCUUGAACCCGAACACCGCCAGUAUGAGUGCGCUGCGGGCGUGGUCCUCCAGCAGCCACCUGGCGCCCAGCACACACCGCACCAGCCCCCCGCGCGCCCGGGCCAGCAGCGCCGCCGCCCGCCGACCCGCCGGGCCGCCAGUGCCACUGCCGGAUGCAGGGGCCGCUGUGGCCGCCCCGCUGAGUAGAGACGUCAGCAGCGCCUGCCGCCGCGCCUGUUUGGCCUUUUCCACGUCCAUCUGCAAAACAGCGCACGGGGGCACGGGAGGAAGUGCACAUCAGGUGGCCCCGCUUGUUUAUACUUCGCCGCAAACGGCGGAGCCACGAAUGGACGAAUGCCCACCCAGACAGGCCCCAGCACCCGCCAAUGCGCCCCACGGCCCCCGCAGCCCUCCCCCUGGUGUGGUUGUGUUCACGCACCAGGUCCUUGGCGGAGGUCCGCGCCAUGGUCACGCCCAGAGCCUGGCGGCAGCGCGUGGGGCGGCACAGCGCAGCGCAGGGGCCGCGGCGUGGGGAGCGGGAGGUCAGCUGGGUCCCGGGAGCACUGGGAGCAGGGGGUGGGAAACACACAGCGGCAAGCGCGCGGUCCUCCCGCUCGUUCGCUUACGCCCAUCACGCCCGUCGUCUUGUGAAUCAAUCACAUUACAUGGCCACAUACCCCACCCCUCCUCCUCGCUCUCGUGCAUUGGGUUCGUUUCAGGGUUUGGCUGGUAAAUACACCCCGCCCCCCCAAAAACACACACGCGCACACAGCGCCUACACGCUCGCUCGCUCACAUGCAGCACGGGCUGGUGCGCGGGGCUGGCACCCAGCAGGUAGGCCAGGUGGUAGGCGAAUGUGGUGCCCUGCGUGCACACACACACACACACACACACACACACACACACACACACACACACACACACACACACACACACACACACACACACACACACACAUACACACACACACACAGACACACACGCGCAUUGACACAUACAGGCAGGGCAGGGCGGUGGCGGACAUAUGGUGACGAUAGCGUGUGCGUGCGGGGGGUAGGGACGUGCAGGGGCGCGCGGACGGGCGCAAACGGUGUGGUGGCGGCGGAGGUGAUGCCGCCGUGAGCCGCGACGCCCGCAUUGCACAUGUGUGGAGUCUGGGGAUGACGGACACCAGUGGCCCCAAACACCCGGGCCAAGCGCCACACGGAAUACGGUACUUACGUGUGUGCGGGUUUGCCAACCCACCAAACGCAUCCCCCAGCUGUGCUUCCCAGCACCCGACCCACCUCGAUGCCUGCAUGGAUCCAAGGGUACGACGCCACGAACGCCCGCUGCAGCCGCCGGCUCCAGCUCCCAUCCUCCUGGCCGACGCCGCUGUUGCCACCGUCGUCUGCCUCCGCCACAGAGCCCUGCGCAGCAGCAGCACGCGGCAGGCCCCGCACAGGGCGGGGGCUUUUGGGACACGCGUACUGUAGAGUGGCUGUGCGCCGCACCCGGUGCGGUGCCCCAGGAAGGCAGCUUGGGGCUUGGGGCACGCACUCAAAAGGGUCACCUAAGCACUUGUCCAACCUGUCUUGGCGUUUCCCCUGGGUUCCGGGCCUGUCGCCCCGCAUCCCGCCCCUGGCGCAACGCCGCUACCGCCGGCCGGUGCCCAGCGCGCGUCACUCGUGGGCCUGGCGCGAGCAGCCGCGCCCGCCUCCCCCCCCCCGCUGGCCCACCUGUGCCGCGCUGUAGCGCAGGGCCAGCCCCAGCACCCCCGAACCCGGCGAGGUGGCUGCGUAGUGGCGGUACACCUUCUCCGUCUUGGCGCGGAGGUAGGGCAGCAGCACUUGGCAGGCCAGCAUGAGCCAUCGCUGCCGCCGCGACAGCCGGUCUGAGGCGCCGGGGCGCAGCGGUUUCCGCUUCAGCCCGUAAAGGCUGUCCGAGAAGGUGCUGUCGGUGCUGAAGAGGCUGUGUCCGUCCAGCGCGAGCGUGAGCAGCGCGAAAACCUCGUCAUCGUAGUUGAGCAGGCGGUGCACCCAGGGUUGCCGCUGCGAGAACACCUGUGUUUGGACAGACGUUUGAUGCUCAAUCGCUGACGUAGUAAACUAGCUUGGCGUGAUUGCAGCUCACCGACAGCGCGUAAAUGACUGCUGCUUUCAGGCUGGGCACCAAGCGGUCUGCAGCUACCACCUCAAAGUAGGUGGGCUUGGAGCUCUCGUCACCCCCGAGGUUUACAAACAUGGCGAACAGCGAGUUGUCCGCCUAAGUUAAACCUCUCGGGUUUUGGUCAGCGGUCGGUAAGGCAAGCCUUCCGGGGUGUCGUGGUCAUGGCUGAUAUGUAAAUUUCUAGCCUUUGCACGGCACGACAAAGAUAAAUGACGAGGGGAAACCGUGCCGGCCUCAUCCGGGCACGUCAGCGGCUGUCGGUCGGUUGCCCGCUCCAACGCUGGAGCUAACCCCGCAUGAAGACCACAGGGCAAGGAGAAACUACGCAAGGCUCAAACUAAGGUGGGGUUGGGGAAACAGGCAGGGGUGAACCGGCCACGUCGCGUGCGGGUUUGGUGAUCGGGACCAUCGGGACCAUCGGUUUCUCGCUGUGCCUCCGCUUCCACAUAUAACAACAAUCACAUAGCCCACUGUAUACACUCCAAUUGUCACUGCCCACACGCGGGCCGAGUGAGCGCAGGGCCACAGUUUUCAGAGCUCCCCUGCAUAUUCGCAGCACUUCUGCGAGUUUCUGGCGACCAAAAGCGCCUAGAGCGCUAAGCUCAAUAAGAAUGCAAGCCCUUUCGCCUAGCCCUUGCGUCUCAAUUGCGUCACGUCAAUUCGGUUGCAGCUAACUCCAGCUCUUCAACAAGGACAAGCCCCAGGCUUUGACCGGGAGUGAUAAGGCGACAUGGCUCAUCCAUUUGGGGGCCGCAAGCUCCUGGUCACGGUGCGCGGGCGCUGCGCGUGCGAGCGUAGGGCCAUAUGCGUUGCCCCCUUCCGACUGCCCUCUCCAACUGAAGCGCCAGCCAGAGCGCCGCUGCGUGACUGUCCGCAUCAAGCACACUGUACCUAGCCUGUCCCAGCACACAACAAUAUGACAUCAACGGAGCAACAUAACCGCAGGUGUGCAAGGCCGAGGUGGGAUGGGACCAGCCGGACUCGAACACGCUGGAGAGCGCGUCGGUUCGCCUGGUGGCGGGCCCUUUCAAGUGGGUCGGCUGGGGUUGACUUUGAACCAAUGCCUGGGGGCUGGGGGCGUGUGUUGGAGGGCACACUGAGAGGAAACACGCAUGACAGUUUGAAAUAUGCAAUGCGAUGCGGCCGUGUAUGUGUGUGUGUGUGUGUGGCCGUGUAUAUGGGCAUGAUACACGGCACAUGUACGGCACAUAUGUGUGUGGGAAGGAAGCACAAUCGAGGGUUUGCGUUUGGCACCGUGGCACUCAUACGGCCCAGGAUAUAGGGCGCUUGCAACCCCCUCUUGUUUUUUUGGGGGCUCUAGUGUUAUCUCACCCCUUAUUCCCCACAAUCCCCAGGUCCUCCACGCGCUCCGUGCCUGUGGCCCGCGGCUCCCGCGGCGCCUGCGGCCUGCUGAGCUGGGCUCCGGGUCUGGGCGCGGAGCUGUUCGUACUGACGGAGGACUGCGUGCUGCUGGCGGACAUGACCGUGAGUGCGUGUGUGUGUGUGGGGGGGGGGAGGCUGGAGGGGGCGCGGCUUGGAGGAGGGGCUGGAGCGGGAUGGGUUGUAAACAGGAUUGGAUGCCUUGGAGGGGUGCCUGGAGCGUGGGGCUUUGUGUCAUCAUUCCAUCAAUAAGAAGGAAGAGGGGCGAUCCAGGCAUCGCGGGAUAGGCAUGCACCUGAACUCAACGAGUAAGGGGCAGUGGCGGCGGCGGCCGCGGCCAGGACUUUCAUCUACCGUUGAUGAGACCAACUUGAGGCAGCUCGUGUGAAAGUGGUAUGCUGCGCUCCUUGUUCCCACACUACUUGGUCUCUUUGAUUAUGGCCAUCGGACCCACACGUACGCGCUCGCCGCAGAUCGGAGCGGAGCUGUGGGGGCGGCGCGGCGGCGGGCGCUGGAACUCCGAGUCCCUGUAUGCCCAGGUGUGUGUGCGCGUGUGUGUGUGUGUGUGUGUGUGCGCGUGGACAUAUACAUGGACCACAGAUCGCAAUCAAGGCGUUUGGGCGUUGGCAGGACGGAUACUGCGUCGUCCCAGCCUCCCUUGCAACCCACCUCCCCACAUCUUCCCACCAUCACCUCCUCCACCUCGUCCUCCUCCUGCUCCUCCACCUCCUCCUCCUCCUCCUCCUCCUCCUCCUCCUCCUCCUCCUCCUCCUCCUCCUCCUGCACACAGGCUGACAUAGUCCUGGACGCGGCGGGUCAGGCGCUACUGCUGUCCGGCCGCUGCCUGGACGUGCGCCUGCCGCUGCUGCCGCCCUCGGCAGCGGGCGGAGGCGGAGGAGGCGGCGGAGGAGGCGGAGGGGACAAGGGCGGCGGGGACAAGGCGGGAGGCGGCGGAGGCGGGCAGCAGUCGGGUCCGGUGCUGGGCAUGCUGGCUCUGAGCAUGAUCCUGCAGCCCGCAGAUGCGGAGGCGGGUGCGUACGGGGUGUGCCAGGGAGCGCAAGGGGGAAAGGGAAGUCUGUGUGUCUGGUUGACAGGUGGGUGAGUAGUCUGCAGAGCGGCAGGGAGCGGGAAGGGGCGUGUGUAAACCCUAGUAACACUCCGUGUUGCACGGACGGCUACCCCCCGCCACUCCCUCAAACCCCCUCCUUGCGGCUACACCCCUCCAUUCCCCCCAUCCCCCCCUUCAGAGUUGGUGCGGCAGCUGCCAGUGGAGGCUGCGCCGCGGCUGCUGCUGGACACGUGCCGCCUGCUGCCGGGCGCGGUGGUGCGCGGGGCGGCGGGGGCGGCGUACGUGGACCCGGCGGUGGUGUUCAUCCGGUGAGGGCAGGGAGGAGGGAGGAGGGAGGAGGGAGGAGGGAGGAGGGAGGAGGGAGGAGGGAGGAGGGAGGAGGGAGGAGGGAGGAGGGAGGAGGGAACUGGAAUGCGAGGCAGGAUGUGGGCUGUGGGGUGGGAGCAUGGGAUUGGGCCAGGGCCUGCUGGCACGUCCUGUUGGUGUGCACGCUGCUGCGGUCGCCGCCCCCCUUGUUCCCAGACAUUUCCCCAGUCGACCCUCUCCCGACCGCUGGUUCCGCAUUGCCCAACUGAUGCUGCUUUACAUUCGCAUCCCUCCCCGGAUUCCCGCCAUUCCUGCCACCCUGCCGACGCGAUGUCGUCGCUCCCGCUGCUCACGUUGUUGCUGUCGCUGCCACUGCCGCUGUCACUGUGUCGCUGUGACAGGAUCCGGCUGGCCUCCGCGACGGGGUUGGGCCGCCCGCACGCGCCCGGCCACCACCAGCAUCACACCUCCUCCCACCACACCUCCCACCAAGGCCACGGCCACCGGGCGGCGGGCGCGGGCGGCGACCUGGGCGCCCCCUCCCGCGGCUCCGGGCCCUGGCCGCACGGCGCGGCAACAUCCGGCGGCAGGUGCGUGCGUGUACCGGUGUGUGUGUGUGUGUGUUGUGUUGUGUUGUGUGCGCGCGUGUGUGUGUGUGUGUGUGUGUGUGUGUGUGGCGGCACGCGAUAUGGGUGCGUUGGGAAAGCAUACAUGCAUGGAGAGGAAGGGGCCACCCCAUGUGAGUGUGCGCCGCCGGGUUGUGGGCGCGCAUGUGCUGUGCGUCAACCUGAACUCCAUGACGAUGACGUAAUGUUCGCCACGCCCCUGCACCAACUGCCGCACCAACUGCCGCACCAACUGCCGGACCAACUGCCGCAUCAUCAUCACACCCCAACAGGAGCCGUGGUGGUCACGGCGGCGGCGGCGGCCAUGGCGGCGGCGGCGGCGGCAACCCGCUUCAGGACCUGGGCUCCAAACUUCAGGCCGCGGCGGACAAGACGUUCGGCCACGUGGGCGCCUUCAUCGCCAAGCUGAAGGACCAGCACCGCGGCAGCGGCGGCGGGGGCGCAGGAGCGGGUGCGGGAGGAGCAGCAGGAGGAGGCGACGGCAGGGCUAGCCAGUCCGUGGAGUCGUCAACACACAAGGGGCGGGCGGGGCCGGAGGGCGCCGGCGGCUCGGCGGCGGGCGUCGCGCUCCAGGACUUCACGUCAGUCGUGGCGGCGGCGGUUAACGCCGAGGCUGCCGGCGGCGGCGGCGGCGCCGCCACCGCCGGAGGCAUGCAGCGGCAGGGCAGCGGCGGCGACAGCCGUCUGCCGCCGCCGCCGCUGAUUCAGGCGGCGCCGCCGCCGCCUCAGUCGCUGGACGUGAUGGCGGCGGAGGCGGCUCUGGCGUUGAUGGAGGCCAACGGCUUUUCGGUUGUGGACAGCCGCCGCCUGUCCAACUACUUCUGGUGCAAGGUGGGGACCGGGAAGUAGGGCAACCGGACAUCAGGACGGCGGGGGCCGGAACGGAAGAGUGCUCCACUCCACUGCUGCCAAACCGCCGGCAACGGCUUGUAAUAUUAUGUUAUUAGUCACACUGGACAUGAACGGCCACGAUGACACUGACACGCCCCUUCAGGUGACGUACGAGAGCCAGGAGCACGUGAGCCGCCUGGUGCCUGUCAUGUCGGGCGGCACGGUGCGCUGGGACGAGAGCUUCGUGGUGGCGGCGCUGCGGCCGGUGCGGCCCGCGCCCCUGGAGAUAGAGCUGUACGGCAGCAACGACGCACGGUGCGGCUGUGGGGCGGGGGAGGGGCGGGGGCGUGUGUGUGUAUGUGUGUGUGUGUGUGUGUGUGUGUGUGUGUGUGUGUGUGUGUGUGUGUGUGUGUGUGUGUGUGUGUGUGUGUGUGUGACCACGGUUUCCACGGUUAUUCUGCCAGAUCACGUGAAUCGUGUAUCUGGUAUAACCAACGACAGGGCUCUCAAUCGAGGGCUGCCGUGACCUGGCGGUGUGUGUGUGUGUGUGUGUGUGUGUGUGUGUGUGUGUGUGUGUGUGUGUGUGUGUGUGUGUGUGUGUGUGUGUGUGUGUGUGUGUUAAAAAACGAAACGAAAGCCCGCCCAGACGACGCCAGAGUUACUUACCGAUACCUACCAAUUUACCGAGCGUCGCGUGGUUGCUGUCACCCAGGUAGUCAUACUUAACCGCGAUAAGCCUGUAACCCCACGGGCGACCAUUCGGCCUGACCCCGCGAUGCACCUGUAUGCGUCCAUGCUCCGCUCCCUGGGCGCGCUAAACAACGUUUACCCAGCACGCCUAAUUCCCAGAUUCCCGCCCGCUGGUCGUAGUCGAGCUCACCUAUAAGCAUGGGAAUGUGUGCGUGUGUGUAGACGCGUGUGUGUGGAUGCGUGUCUGUGUGUCUGUGUGUGUGCUCGAGACCUGCCUUACACCGCAUGCUCCCUGCAAACGCACUGGCGCCGCCCACGAAACGACACGAUACGAUACAACACGAAACUCGCAUCUCCAAGCCAACACACACGCCCCCGCCAACAUCCUCCGACCCCCUUCAUACCUAUGGUUAUGUACAACGAAUCGCAUAUGCAGCUGCAGUUCUCCUUGCGACUAUUUCCUUACGGGAUUGGUUCAACGUUUUCUCCCCCCUUCAUAUUGCUCGCAGCUCCCGCGGCCGCAUGGUGUGCCAGCUGUCCGUGCCGCUGUGUGACGUGAUGGAGCAGGUGGAGGCGCAGCACGCGGCGGCGGCGAGGCAGCGCGAGGCGGAGGCGGAGCGGGCGGCGGAGGCGGAGCGGCUGAGGAGAGACAUGGAGGCGGCGAUGGGGGCGGCGGCGCGGGAGGCGGCGCGGGAGGCGCAGCAGGCGGCGGGGGGCGGAGGGGCGGGAGCGGAUGGGGCGGAGGGGGCGGAGGCGGAGGCGUUUGCAGCGCGGCGGGCGUCGCACUCGAGCGCAGGUGUGCGGCGGUGGGGCAGUGGGGCAGUGGGGCAGUGGGGUAGUGGGGGCUUUCGCGGGAGCGGGCUAGCGGGGGCGGGUAUUGCAGCCUGGGGAUGCGAUUGGGGAAUGGGAUAGGGUUGGGGGAUGGGGGAUGGGGAAUGGAGACGUGCCAGUUUGCUGCGCAGGUCCAAGGGUUUCUGGGCUAGGACCAGAGAGCCACCACCAUGCCCUUGCAUGGCUUCCUGCCCAUGCUGAACCCACAAUCAUGUUUGUUUUAACUUGCCAGGCCCCCGCCGCUCGCUCUGGUCAUCCUUCACAACGACCGGCAGCGCCGCAGCCGCCACUGUGGCCUCUCGCUUCACCUCCCACCCGCUCUCCUUCUCCCAGUCCCGGCAUCCCCACCUCCACAACCACAACCACCCGCCACCGCCGCACAACCACCAACCACAACCAGCCGCCCAGAAACUACCCAACUACCAUCCCGACACGUGGCCGCGGGGGCGGUUGCGGCUGGCGGCGCGGCUGGGCGGUCAGCAGCAGGGCGGCGCCGCCGCCGCCAUCCACGGCUCCCCGGGCGGCGCCGCGGGCACCGGUGUCCGAGAGUGCGUGUUCCACAUGGACUUCGAGGUGAGCGGCAGCGGCUACGGAUGCUGCUCCUGAUCCUUCUCCUUCAGCUCCUGCGACUCUUGCUGCCCCUGUUCUUGCUCUUGCCGCUCCUCCGCAGCUGCGGCACCCGGCACGCAAGCCGUCUCGUCCCUACCACCUCAUCACGUCCUUCCUGCCUCGGCACUACCCCACUCACCACUCCCCGCAGGUCAUCGACGCCGACCCGCGCGCCGCCGCCAACAGCACCCAGCUCCUGCCAUGGGCGCCGCACCAAUACCACGUCCACACCCACCACCGGGCAGUCACAGCCGGAGCUGCCUCCGCCGCCGCAGAGGCGGCACGCGCCGCCGCCGCAGCCACAGCCGCCGCAGCGGCCGCCGCCGCAGGCGGCGGCGGCGGAUCCGCCACUGCCAGCCACAUGCCUGGAGCACACGCGCGGCACGGCUCGAACUCAGGCGCGGCGCCGGGCGGCGACUCCGGCGGUACCGUCACGCCUGAGGGCACGGUUGGCGGGGGCAGCGGCUUCACCGCGACACGGCAGGGGUCGGCGGGGAGUGUGAGCACGGUGUUCGUACCGGGUUUGGAUUCCGUUUUUUCGGGCGGCACGGAUGCUGCCAACAGCCGCCCGCUGAGUCCCCCCUGGAGCCCGCCCGCCGGGCCGCAGCUGGCGGCGGCUACGGAGAUGGUGGUGUUGGGCGGCGGCGGCGGCGGCGGCGGCGGGGGCGGCGGCGGCGGUGGAGGUGGAGGGGGCGGGCGGCGGGAGGCGAUGCCGCUGCUCAGCCGCUCGGCAUCGGGCAUGGCGCUUGGGUGAGAACUACGUCGUGCUGUGUCCAUGUCCGUGUUCGUAUUCUUCUUUAGGAGGGCAAGUCGUUGGUCGAAUCCAGCUGUGCUUUGGUGUGCUUUGCCAUACCGACAACGCAUUUGCAAGUGCCUUGGUAAGGAAGAGGUUUGGGAUCUACUACGCGGGUUUCUCUUCACCAGUCUACCCCAUGUGCGCGCCCUGCAGGCACCUGCCCUCCAUCGCCUGCACCACCUGCGCCACGCCCGGCGGCGGCGCCACGCCGCGCCACGCGCCGCCGCCCUCCACCACCUUCCUCACACCCGAGGAAGAGCUCUGGAUGCCUGGCGGCGGCGGCGGUGGCGCUGGCUACGCAGCCGCCACCACCAGCAGCACCACUGCGGGACCGCUGCCGGUGACGCCCAAGCGCGCCUCCGCCACGGGCGGCGUGCCGGGUGGGCUGCGACCCAUCCACACACAACCCACGCACGGAGCCGUGGCGGCGCUAGGACUGGACAUGGGCCCCUCCAGCGCCGCGCAGCCAGGCACGCCCAUCAACCUGGCACAUCGCAGCGUGGGCACGGCGGCGGCAGAGGGUGGCGGCGCCAGGGGCGCCGGCGCUGAUGGGGGCGGCGGCGGCGGUGGUGGAAAGAGGGGUGGUGGCGGAGCGGCCGCCGCCGCCGCGAUCCUGGCGGCGGCUGUGCACAGUGGCUCCACCGCAGCUCUGUCCACGUCAUCAACACUGCCGGGCGGCAGCGGCGCCGCCGUCGCCACCGGCGGCGCCGGAGGCGGCGCCGGAGGCGGUGCUGGCGGCGGCGUUGCCGGCGCCCGUGGCGGCGGCGGCGCAGACGCGGCGCUCGCGCCCGGCAUGUGCUCUCACGCGGCGUUUGCGGAGACGGCGGCGGCGACGUUCUCACUGGUCAUUCAUGAUGUGGAGCUGGAGCUGCCGCCCGCGCCCGACGGCGGCUGGGGCGGCGUGGGCGGCGGCAUGACGGUGGGCGGGCUGAGCGGCCAGCAGGCGGCGCAGCAGGCGGCGCUGGCGAACCUGCUGCAGGUGGGGCGCUGCCGCGGUGGCCGCCCCGGCAUCGCGUGUGUGUGAAAAAUACCAUACUUACACCGUGAUGCUGAGGAACGCCGCGGCGAUUGACAGGGCCAACCGUGUUAAGCAGCGAUGCUGCUUUGCGUCCAGCUCUCUCCCUUUAGAAUCCUUGCACGCAUGGCCAAAGCCCUGCUAACGGUCUACUUAUGUUCAGAUACUUUAUGCUGUCCUUCCUCUUUCGUCCAUCUCCCGACACGCACGUACACACACACACACACACUCAACAACACAGGGUGACUACUUCCUGGUCCUGCGCUGCGGCUACGUGUGGGCCACCACCGCCAGCCUGCGCGCCACCGCCGCAGCAGCCGGCAGUAGCACCGCAGCAGCCGCGGCCGCAGCCGCAGUCGCAGCCGCGGGCGGCAGUAGCGGCGGCGGCGGCAGUAGCUACGGCGCCGGUCCGCGCCUGGCCCCGCAGAUGGGUGUGGUGCUGCCACUCACCAAGCCUAGCUCCAUGCUCAGUCUGGCAUUGUACCGGCGGAAUGACACGGUAGCGGGGAAGAAGGUGCGUCUGCAAGCUUUGACGCAUGCCACGUACAUUUGUACUACGUACAUGAUAUAUGGACGUAAUACGAUGUGUACAAACGUGGAUUCCGGGCAAUACCAUCGCUUGUUGCCGGGUUGUAGCGCUUGCCGCGAGCAGCACCGUGCCAGCCGAGUUCAGGUCGAUGCUUGUGUGUGUGCCUCGGCCCUUGCCCGCCCGCACAUUCUCAUUGUUGCCAGCCCUCAACCCCAGAACACCCACAACUGCCACGCCGCUCCCUCCCCUCCAACCCACAACUCCUAACCCACAACUCCCAACCCAUAACCCCGCAGGUUCUCAACGUGCGCGCCAUGAUCGGCAUGGUGGCGGCGGAGGGGCUGGUGGGCAAGCUGCGGCUGCGGCCGUCCUCGUUGGCUCCCGGCCGCGCCGUGGACGUGUGCCUGCCUCUCAAAGGUGAGGAAGGGGGAAGCUAUGGCCCGCUGGGGGUUCAGCGCGCAGCUUUAGCGCAGUUUUGGGGUGGUUGGGGGCAGCUGGAGCACAAGGCAAAUACUGGGCGCAUGUGCGUGUUAGGAAAGCAUAUGCAGUUUGUGCUUGUGUGUGUGUUGCUGGGGGCAGGUAUCUCCUGGAAGCGCUCUCCUCAACCUCUACGCCUCGGGUGUGCAUCUCGCCCUGCCCACUCACCCGCGCCCGCCCAUCUUGACCCACCCCACCCAACGGGCACCCCCGUGCUGCAGCUGAGCGCUCCGGCUCGCGCCCCUGCGCCACCGUGGCGUGGGUGCGGCUGAGUCUGCUGCUGGCGCCGGGGCCGCGCGGCCUGCCGGGGCUGCUGAUGGCGUAUGCCGACCCGCCCGUGUUCCCACCCCUGGCCAUGCUCAUGGUGCGUAUGCGCGGGUGGGGUGCAGGGGAGUUUACACCAAUCUGAGUUACAUUAAGACCCAGGGGAGGAGGGGUAAGUGCCCGCGCCCGACGACUCUGUCCCAUGCUCAUCAUCGGAAUGCCCACCUAGAGCGAGGCGGGGGCCGGGGGAGUGGUUAGGGGAGGGGUGUCCCUGUGUGUGCACAGGCGGGGCUGCGCCGUCCAUGUAAGUCAUCCCAGGAUGCCGCCACCUCCCAGGCUAGCUGUGCUAACAUGUCUCCCCGCCUCACUUUUCCACACGCCUGCUCCCCGCACUCUGGGCCCGCCGCCGCCUCCUCCGCCUCCGCCGCAGGAGGGUGCGGUGUCGGGCGCGGGCCUCAGCGCCACCCUGCCGCUCACCGACCCGGCCAAGAAGGUGGACUCGGACGCACUCAGGCGGAGGGAGCGGCGCCUGCUCAUCAAGUGAGAACCUGGGGGCCGGGGGGGGGGGGCUACAUUCGUGAUUGAUGAGAAGCUGGAGGCGGGGGGUAAGCCGUUCAUUUGGAGAACGGAUUGAUGAAAUCACAAAGUAUGAAGUGUCAACGUCCAGUGGGGGGGCAGGGCGACGCAUUCCCCACAGCCCCCACUUGCAAGGCUCCUUCCAUGAGUCGUGGGGUGCCCGUAACUGCAACGGAGGGAGCGCCAAACAGGUAGACCAUGGGUAGGAGGGACGAAGGCGCGGGAGGCGGCGUCGCCGUGUGACUGCUGCGCGAAUUCCCACACGCACACACACACACACACACACACACACACACACACACACACACACACACACACACACACACACACACACACACACCUGCAUGCGCGGCUGCGCACAGGUGGCUGUCGGAGUGCAGUCCAGGCGUGUCCGCCGCCGCGGCUCGCAAGCUGGUGGAGGACGGCCGCACCGAGUUCAACGCCGGCCGCACGGGGCAGAACUGGAAGCGCAUCGGCCGGUGAGCCACAGAGCAAGGGAGCGAGAGCGAGAGGGAUGAGAGCAAGGGGGCGAGAGCGAGAGGGAUGAAAGCAAGGGAGCGAGAGCUAGGAGGGCCGGGGCUUAGGUUGCCGGCGUUACCGCUCCGUACAUACGCCACCGCACUCUCACGGCCCCGUGAGCCACGACCACUCCUCCAUCCUGUGACGCGCUCCCUCCGUGACCUCCUCCUCAACAAUCCUUCAACUGCGCGCCUCGUCCUUCCCUCGCACUCGCACUCGCAGCGCCUUCGCUGCAACCGAGCCGAUGCAGCGCUUCUGGUCGCACGUGCAGAGCUGGCGGCAGCCAGGACUCACGCUGGCAGUGGCGGCGGCCGAGGUCGCGUUCCUGAUCUGGCCCUCCCGCGUGCUGGCGGCGCUACUGCUGUGGGCCGUGGUGGCGCUACUGCAGGGCCGGGCCAGGCUACUGCCGCCGCAGUUGACUGCGUCCGACAGCAGCAGCGGAGGCGGCAGUAGCUACGGCGUGGACGGCACCGCCGGUGGCGUUCGUGGUGGAGGGGGCGGCAGUAGCACCGGGCACGGCGGACCUGGCGUGGGCGGUGCGGAUGGCGCUGGCGCUGCGAGCGCGGAAGAGCCGGCGGCAGUGCCUGUGGUGGCGGCGGUGGCGGCGCCGCCGCCCCAGAGCGCGACCGCGGCGGCGGUGGCGGCGGUGGAGCAGGCGCACCAGAAGCUGCUGGCGUCUUUCUCGUCGUGGUUCGGCGACACAGCAACAGCCGCGCCCGCGCCGCCGCCGCCGCCAGCAGCAGCAGCAGCAGCAGCAGCAGCGGUUGCCGGCCGCAGCGCCAGCGGCGGCAGCAACAGCGGCGCCGCCGUGGGGGCUAGCGUGUCACAGCCCCUGCCGGCAAUGGUGGCGGCACCGGCGGUCGUGGGCGCUGCGGCGGCGGGGGCAGCGGAGGUGGAGCGGUCCCGGGCAACGCCGUACUUCGGCGAGCCGGGUGCGAUGGUGGAAGACAUCGUGAACGACCCCGAUCCGGGUGAGUUGAGGCAUAGCACGUCACCUCGGCACUCAGCACGCUGCUUGGCGUAAAAUAAUGAAGGCGACCGGUCAUAUAUCGGUGUGUAUGGCUGCAUGUCGUAGCUCGAUUCUGAAUGGGGCACAACCAUACGUAUAAUAUGAAGCACCGUCUUCCCAGCAUGUCGUUACGUACGCUGCCUACUCCCUGUUCUUCGCCGCUACUUUAUCCCAUCCCCUUACAGCCACCGCACGUGCCGUCGACACCGAGUCAGCAGCCGCCGGCGACGGCGGUGCUGCAGCUGGUGCCGGCGCUGGUGGUGGUGGCGGCGUGCUGUCGCCCUCCGCCUCCAUCACAGACGCCCGACAACUCGCGGCGGCCGCAUCCGUCACCACCGCCACACCCACUCAGCCGCAGCCGGUGCCUGCCACGCCCACCGCCGCCUCCGCCGCGGCAGCGGCCGCCUCCGCUGCCGCCGGCUGGAUAUUCGGCUCCUCGCCGCCGCCAGCCGCCGCCGCUAGCGACUGGGCCGCACACCAGCAGCAGCUGCUCAGCCGCGGCGGCGGCGCAGCCGCCGCUGCCCCCGCCCCCGCCGCCGCCUCUUCGACCGCCCUUGCCCCCGCCGGAACGGCCGUGCCGGGUGGCGGCGGCGGCGGCGGUGUGAUCGAGCGGUUGGCGGCGAUGGCGGGCGCGGAGGUGCCGAAGGACCCGCUGGCGGCGCUGCGUCAGCAGUACGACCAGCUGGUGUACUUUGGGCUGCGGGUGCAGAACGUGCUGGACGACAUAGCGGGGGCCAUGGAGCGCGUGCAGGUGAGCAAGUGUGUGUGUGUGUGUGUGUGUGUGUGUGUGUGUGUGUGUGUGUGUGUGUGUGUCUGUGUGCGUCUGUUUGUAAAGGAGGUGUUCGAGGUUACCAAGGUCGGUACGUUCGGUCACACGUACGUGUCGCGUGCGUAGGGCUUUCACAACAUGUUUGUUAGAGAGCACCCCACCACAAUGUCGCUUACAUCCAUUCUCAACAACCUGCACAUGCGCCCUCGUUGCCACCGCCGCCGCCGCCGCUGCUCCGCAGGCGCUGCUGUCUUGGCGGGACCCUGUGGCCACGGGCAGCUUCGUGCUGUGCCUGCUGUGCCUGGCGGUCUCCCUGUGGUUCCUGGGCCUGCGUGCUGUGCUGGGUGCGCUGCUGCUGUACGACCUGCGGCCGCCGCGCUGGCGCGACCCCUGGCUGCCGCCGCCCGCCAACGCAUUCGCGCACCUGCCCACACGGGCUGACCUCAUGAUGUGAUUGUGGGGUGCUGAGGUGCUGGGGUGCUGAGGCGGUGAGGGUGUGUGAGGAAGGGAGGUUCAACAGAGGCUUGGGAGGGCGGAAUGAACGACGGUGCGGGUUUGGCAGCAGCUGUGUACGGAACGCAGAUGCGGGAGUUGAUGUACAUAUAGUGUCUUGGAUUGGCUGUGCAUCGUUCAGGCCGCAGCUUGGAUAUGGGAUUCUGGAUUCUAAAACUUGAAUCCUGCAUCCGGGAGUAAUGUUGCCGCUGGACGGAGUGAGGGGUUGGUGGGGAAGCCACCAUGCGGGUGGUUGAGAGGAGGCGGGCGGAUCAUAAGUGACAGGCCGCCUAGCACAAGACUAUUGCACUUUCGUUGGCCACGGUUGCUGGUACGGGACUAUUGGGGCGUUGUGAGAUGUUGCUGUACGGGAUUUCGAUGGUGCCUGGAUGAAGAUGCUGAGACUAGAAACAACGCUUGUUGAUCGCUGUGGCAGUGGCAUGAUGUACGCAGGGAGCAAGGCCGGACGAGAGGAGGUAUGCAUAGCCGUGCGUGUGACUACCGUACUGCCUGAAUGCUGAAGACUGUGGCUGAGGGUCUGAAUCGAAGUACACUGGCACAACGGCCAACAUCGUUCACUGCUGACUCGCCUCCACCUCACCACGCGCCCGAGCGGGGGAGGGCAGUCCACGGCACACGUCCAGUGACUGCCCUUGUCACGAACAGCCCUGAACGGCCCCCCUGCCGGCAAACUCCUCAACGCCGGGGCCUCGAUUUGGCUCCGGACCCCAAUGCAAAUGCAUCACGUCGUGCUUCAACAUGCUCACGCACCGGCGGCUCAUGACAGCCCGGCCUCGCCCGGCGCCGCGGCUUUGAUGCCGCCGGCGCCUCCGCUGUUGGAUAUGAGUAAUGGGUGCGGCUUUGACAUGACGCCAGCGGCCCGGCGACAGAGGAUGAAAGGACUUAAGGACAGCGCCGUUGGACCCCACCUGUCCACACCCAUCCCCUCGCGGCGCUCCCCAGCAUCGGCCCAUCACGCCUUCAGCCUGUUCGCCCUUCGCUCGCUCGCUGGUAUCAGCCGGCAUCCACUCCACAUUUCCGCAAUGCAAGCUUGUCGCCCUAUGCCACCGUGAUGGGAGUGCGGCCGUGAGAGACAGUGGAAACAGCGUAGAUAGCUGGCAUGAGCGGGUGAGUUGGCAACAAGGUGAGCAGCGUGCUGUAGCGGCCGUGGCGAGCUUGGUGGCGAGGCCGCGUAUGGUAUCGUAUGUACAUACGUACACAGGUGCGGGCCGCGAGCAGCCCGCAACGCACACCAAGACAAGGCAAUAAGACACACAUGCUGGCACUGGAGCAACACGAAGAAUGAUUACAUCAAGGCUGCUGCUGCAACCAGCCCACACGGCUCGACCCACGCACGCCAUUAGCACCUGCCAGCUGCAGGCAUACGCCGCAUGCACCACUAGUUUGAAGAUAAUGCAGUUUUCUCAAAGCUGGUCAAAGCAUUCAAUCAUCAGCCAGUUUCUGUACUGUUGCCUUGCAGCAAUCUAUAGGGACCCGCACACAGCGCAUCAAGAGCAAAGACCACAACCACUUCCAUGCGGAGCGCGUUCGCAUUUCAACGCCACGCCAUGCCCCGCUAUCCGCCUGCGGGUGAAGACCGCAUAACAACUUUCAAGUGCAUUAGAUAUGCUUGGUUUCCCACCCGCCGUCGCUUCCACUCGUGCGUGCCAUCACCACUGCCGGGUACAUGUGGCAGUGUAGCUGUGAACCACCACGGCCGUACCCACAAACCGUUAACAGAAUACCCGCCCUCACACGCACCCUAAUGCCAACCAGCCAGGCCACCAUGCAUACUCAAGGUUGUGGACGCAAGCGUGCCUGGCCUGGUACGUCCAGGCUUGCUCAAGCCAUAUCACAUGCAUCUCAUAUACUAUGUCACUGCCGCUCAGUUUAAAGGACGAUCAGGGUUUCAACCCUGGGGACGAGAGUUAAAGCUCUCUAAAAUGUGGAAAGGUGUCGACAGGAGCACACGCCCGCGGAAAGGUAAAAAAAGAACACAAACGUACGGCAAGUAUAUGAGUCGGUCAAGGUCACAUGCCCGCGCACGACGGCCACGUGCAUACCAGAACAGAAGCCACUGCACUCGUACUCGUAGGCCUGGUUCGUUUGUAAUAUGGGACGAAGGACCUGCCCCGUCAGCAUACACACAGCAUGACAUGCCCCUGGAAGCCAACACGCGCGCUCUUCGUACUGUACGUGCCAUCCCGCAGAAACCGGAGCCUGGCGCACACGUCCCCGUGCAGCUACUUGGUGUUCAAGCCGCACCAUUGCGCCACAACGACAUGCGGAGCCUUUCAAAGACACAGGUACCGCGCCGCCCGCUCACGGGGCCCAUGCAAAACCACUUAAUAAGUAAAGCGCCAGCCGCUGCUCACGACGGCAGUAAAGCUGCCGCGCUUGGCGCGCGCACACCGGCUCGCUCACGAACACAACACGCAGCGCGCGCGUCAGGCCCAAACAUAAGAGCCUUUGACCGCGACCGCGCGCCCAUCCCGUACAGUUGUUCUUAAGUGUGCCUGUAUUGCCUCUUUUGUUCAUUAUCCUGCCGCUGUGCCUCUAAGCGGCACAGCCUAGGCCCCACUCCCACAUUGCCACCAUUGUCUAAUACUUCUUUCCAUGCCGCUGCUUCCAAUGCCUGCACGAGUGCAAAGAGCAGCAUACGGCACCAACUGGUGUACACCUGACCAGCGGCACACAUCCAGAACCAGCCGCUGCCCACCGCUGACUGCUUCCUCUUUCAGGGAGCAUUCCGCAGUACCACCAGACAUAGGAAUGCUCUACUCGCCUCUCAAGCCCCAGCCUCAGCCCCUUGCCCCGCGUCCCUAGCGCCUCCCCCCGGGACUAGGAGUCUAAUCCCUUACUUCUUCACAUGCAGCCCCACCGCCCCAAUGCUGGGAAGCAGCCCGCGCUUCGCCACCGCCGUCGCGGUGAUGUUUAUACGCACACCCAGCACCACGGCAUCCCGCGCCGGCCCGUACCCGCCCGGCAGCUGCUGCGCCUUGAGCGCUGCUGUCAGCGGGAAGCUGUUUAUGCCAGGGCACUUGAGCGUUUCAUUGGCGGAGCCGGUGUGCAGCAGCAGGGGUGUGGCGGGUGAGGUGCCGGCCUUGACCAUGAUUUCAAUGGAGCUGAAGACUGGCUUGAGCGCGCCCCGGUUGAGGACUAGGAUCUGAGGAAAGGUGCGAAGGCAAGGGGUUGAGGGAAAGAGAGGUGUGAUAAGCAGUGAGCGAGCGAGUGGUGCGGUCCGGGGGUUGUGAGGCUGGUGGCCUGUGUAUGCACGCCAAGACCGUAGGGCUGCGUCGGGCUCCAGCGCGUUUUACGAAGUGCCCGGGUGUGAGCGCCGAUGUGCGUCGGACUUGUAUGUAGUCGCGGCGCGCCGUAGAGAUCGCUAAGGAUACGCUGCAGCAGAUGACGACCUAUGCCUUAUGCUUCCAUAUGGCGCUUUGCAAGCGGCGCACGAGCGCGUGGCUUUCGGCGUAUACGAACAGAUCCCGAGCGGUUGACGCCCGCACCCAUCUAGCUCUAGUGUCCGCAAAACCGGUUGAAACGUCCGCACCUGCAGCUCCUUGGCGUCAGAUACAAGGAUGCUCGGAUCAAUCUGUAAAUUGAGCCACAGCAAGUGAGUCAGAGCUGCGCUAGCUGAGUGCGUGUGCGCGCGAAGCCCGCGUGCGAGCGGCGCUGGCGCCCGGUCGGCGCGCGGGUUCCCUCAUGUGGCAGGCGGCACCGCCGCCCUGAUCAAGGCAGCACACGCACACGCACGAAUAAGAAGUAGCCGUCCUAGAUAUCCCCCGCCUCGGGCGCAUGCCCCUACCUCAAAGCGAACGUCUACGUAGCGCGGUACCUGUGGCGGGAGAGCAGGGCGCGCACGCAGAGUUCGUGAAUAGAGCAGCUGAAAGGUCGGCAGGCGGUAUUCGUGUAUUCGUGUUCGUGUAGAGGGUGAUCGCUUACGUAUCAUAGGUGUCAUAAGUGUUUGAUCUCAAGCAGUACGCAGCGAAGAAGGGUGUCAGGCCUGCAUCGGACAGCCUUUUUCCCCAAAACGCGGCCUGUCCACCGCGCAUCAUUCGCACAUAUGCUGCACAGACUUAAACCUCAUGACGCAACCCUUGCCGGCAGGUAAAACCAAACGGGGACAAAUUCAAAAAGGUCAAUUGCACUUGCCUCUGAGGUCGGAAUCCAGCUCAGGUCCCCUCCGUCUGGCUUGCACUUCUUUCUGAUAGUCUGGGCUUUCUUCGGCGCACCGAGGAGGCGCCUUACAGCACCGGGCGAUGUGUCAGUGCCGUUCAGGUCGAAAGGCCCACGCGCUGCCAACGCCCAUACUACUUGCUCCUGGCCUGUACUAGGGCUUGGCACAGGAGCAGGCACAGGGGACGGCGGAGGCCGCCUUCCGCGUUGUGCCCAAGCACCGCCCGCCGCGCAUAUAACCAGUAGAGUCAGAACAAAGUGUUGCUUAAUCAUUUUACAGCAAAAAAGCUAUUUCAGAAGUGGCAAUACAAACAUACUCAGUCACAGAACUUCUGCGCCCCUCCCUUGGAUCCGCGCGUUGGAACCGAUGUAUGGCGCGAAUAACUUGGCCUGUUGCCCAGGCCAGUGCAAGAUCUAUUAUUAGAUGUAAAGUGCUCGAAGUGCUAUGUUUACCCCUCAGCAGGCGCUGUGCCAGCAUGAAGAUGCCCUGGUGUGAGGCACAAGUUUUGCGGACCCCAACCACGGACCAAAACUUCCUUGCUCCCAUUACUUCAAGGAAUCUGCGGAAUUAUAUGUGUUAUCGAGGAGGAAUUUGUACCAAUGAGAUAAAAGCGCAGCGCCGCUGCUGGACAGCUUCGACGAGGGACCAUGAAACCAUCUUCGAUGAGGGCGGUAUUCAGGGCGGGCCCCCAGGACCCUCGCUUUGGGCUUGGCUUGCAGCCACACGCGCGAGCGCACAGUGCUCACUUGGCAGCAUCCUCGCACUCUAGGUUACUCAGCAACUAGGCUGGCACUUGACAGUAGCACCAGCCACUGCCAGCCUGACAUCCGGGCACAGAGGUGUCAUGGUCGGUCUCAUGCCAGCAUGGAUUGCGCACAGGCUGACGCGUGGGUGGAACAGUAGUAGAUGGUAGGAAGUCCCAUAUGCGGCCAAGGCAAUGAAUAGAACCGAAACCCAGAAGGCCGGGAGUCCCAGGACCCAAUACAGCCUCGCACUUUUGAAGCUUGCAGUGCGGCGGCGGGAGUGCUGCACUUGCAUUGCGCCAAUGAUACUUUUCGGCUUUUCCGCCUCACGCAGCGGACUGCUUGGGGAGCGCGGGCGCCCCAGCCCAUGAGUCCAGCCAAGCCUGGACGCAGUCCAGUUGCAGUGUAGAUCGGAAUGCGGAGGAGAACAGUGCAAGGGGCGGGGACGGGGACACGGCGUGCUGGGGAGGGAAGAGCUGGACCUAUCCAGCAAGUCCGUCAGCUUGCAAUCCUCGAUGUCGAAGAACCUGUCCAAUGGUCACUUUCAUAAUCCGUGGACCGCGAUUGCCCAAGCUGACGCUUUGCAUGUUGCCGGGCUUGUGGUUGUUGCGGUCGCGUAGCCAGGCACCUCUGCAUCAUGAAAGGCGUUCUCAGGCAAGACAGAGAGGCAGCAACCCCCUUACCCCACACCAAAUCGUCUUCUACCGGCAUUUAAUGCCCCUUGCGUCUCCUGGUCAAUGGGAGUGGGGCCAGGUGGGGCCAUGCGGGACAAUGGGAAGGGGGGCUUCGAGUUGGUCGACCUCGGGUUGGGAUCCAAGUGCCACGCGCGGAAAGCACCUUCAUUUGACAAAUUGUUACUCUCUGCAAGCUAUAUAUAUAUACAGUAAUAGGCCUGGCCAAGCAAUCUGUCCUCCAAAUCCAGGGCCGAAAUGGCGGACCCCGCGAAGAAAGGCAAUGUGGCGCUUGAAGAGGACGACGAGUUUGAGGACUUCCCUCAAGAAGAAUGGGAGCCAUCCGUGGUGCGUUGCCGCCCGCGAACCUGUCGGCAAUGCCUUUCAAGAGUUGCCUGUGCAGCAGCCUACCGUGCCCUGCUCCAGAGAACCUCAGCAAGCCAACCUUCUCGCUUGCUACACCUUGCAGGAAGACCUGAAGAAGAAAGAACUUUGGGACAAGUCCUGGGACGACGACUCGUUGGACGACCCUGUGGGCCAGCAGCUGCGGACGGUGCUCCCCACCGUGGCGCAGGGCGCCCAGGCGCAGCAGCAGGCGCAACAGUGAACACGGGAAUUGGUUUAGGAGUGAAAGUGAACAGAGGAAUGAGGGCUAGGAGUGCCGGGGGCCGUCUUGCAGCAGGAAAGGGGAGGGGGGGUGAGCAAGCAUCGUUGCAGUGCGCGGGCCUCCUAGCUGGUUUGGCCGUGCGGGGCUAGUUGAUUACUGCGCGCCAGGAUCGGGAGCUCCUACAGCCUUCUAGUCUGAGACGUCAGGUCUGUGUACAGCGGCACAUCUCCAGGAGACGCGGCGACGGAGCUUGGCUGGGCUGAGUCAGCUUCUGCAUGUACAUAGGGACCUCGUACGGCUGCGCUGCGGCCUCCAGUAGCAGCAUGAGGGACUCGGGACUCGGAGCUGACCUGGACUGUAUAGGCCCUGACAAGCUGGAUGGCGGCUAGGUGGCACGGAUUCAGGUGACGUGCGGUGAGUCUGGCGGAGGGGUUGCCGGCGACGGCGUGUGUCUGCCAGCAAGCGGACUCGCGGAGGCCGGCGUUGCCUCCUUGGCGGCGCACUGCCGGGGCGGCCAGUGGGCGAGAGGGCAACGCUGGAGUGGCCCUAUAGAAGCUGCGCGCUAUGUGAGGACGGGGCCCGCACGGGACCGCUUUCGGACUGGAUGUUUUGGCAAUUUGGGCUGAGCCCCCAAGCACAGCGAUUCAAAGGGGGGCGCCCCAGGAGCACCAAAACCACUACUGGCGCAAACUGCGAGUGGCGUACACCAGUAUUUAGUAAGGUCUGUUGAUCGCCAAUAGGCGGCGGGUCCAAAUCAGCAGGAGCGAGAUGAGGUAGACUGGGGACGUGGCGUGGGCUCAGCCCAUAUUUCCCUUGCGAGGGAAACACCACCUUUCUUGAUGUACCGUAUGCACCAGCCGCAUGCCUCGCCAACCUGCUUGAACCCUGUCCCAUCACACACCAGCCGCAUGCCUGUGUGCCGCUACCUGGCAUGAUGUGACGGUGAUCCGUGUUUGUUGGGUGCAUGAUAGACGGGGGCAAAGCGACGAGCCGGUGCUGCGCGCACGUGUUGCACGGCCGGCGCAUAUCGGGUGUCUGAGUGCCGGAGUGGAUGAGUGUGCGAUGGGACAGUGGUAAGGCAGGUUGGUGAAGUCCCAGCUGAUUCCCAGACCCCAGCAGGUGGCAAACAACCGGGUGUCUGAGUGCCGGAGUGAAUGAAGCAGCAAAGAAUGAGGAGAGUCUGGAGUCUGCUGACACGGUGCCAUACGCAAGUUGACGCACAUGAUGUGCUCCCAGGCGGCAGCGUGGCAGGGAUCUGAACACCUGGUGUUGGUUGGGCCAGGGCCUGGGUGUAUCCGCGGAUUGGGCGAUGUUGCUGUCGCCUGCGGGAUGUCUUGACUUUCCUUUCACUGUGUCAUAAGAUUCAUGAGACGUAACCGCGUCCAGUAUGCAGUAUGAUGGUAACGUUCAUCCGCAUGUCUUACAGUGCCCUCCACGGUUGCGACAUGCCCACGGGCCCACGGUACUAGGGCCGUCCGUGGCUCUCACCAACGCCGCGUCCCCACACGCCGAAGCAAUGUGUUUAGUUUGCGCCUCGGACGCUUGCUUCACUGUCAUGCGUACGUCGCAUCUAUUACAGACUUCGAGUUGUGUCUGUGUGAGCGGCAAGGCCACACUCAAUGGCCCUGCCGGUCCGAGUCCCACACAGUCAUGCGGCGGUCACGCUUGACACAUGCGACCAGCUUCCACCUGUCAAGACCCCAAGCCUGCACAUGUGCUGUUGUGCUGCUGGCACACCUCUCGCAAGAUAUACAGCACAGUUGCCAGCACCUACACGAACGAACAUAAUGCGCCACUCCUGCUGUCCUCGCAGCCGCUGCAUCUCGCAGCGACGCCUAGACUCUCAGCAGCUUCUCUCGGGCCAUCGACCUCCCGCUCCUCAGCGCCUUCAAUGCAUCCAUCCCCACAUCCUCGUGGUCCGGCAGCAUGCAGUGCAGUGCAGCACACUCCCCAGCGCACACUCUCGUACACCCCCCACAUCGCCACACACACACACACACACACACACACACACACACACACACACACACACACACACACACACACACACACACACACACACACACACACACACACACACACACACACACACAUACACACACACACUCACACGGCGCAGCUGACCCGCAGUGCAUCCGCACGCGGGGAGACAGCAUCAGAUGCAGCCGCCCAACAGUGCGCCAACGUGCACACGCGCACUCACUCGGCCGCUACCCCAAUCCACGCACGCCAUAACGUGCUGCCUGCAGCCCAGCUACAAGCCGGGCCCCCUCAUGCCCGUGCGCGCUUGCCCCCGGCCGCCUUGCCCCCAGCCGCCUUGCGCUUGGCACCACUGUCGCCAUCACCGUCGCCGUCGGCGUGGGCGGGCGCUGAUGCCGCCGCCGCCGCCGCCGCCAGUAGGUCCGCGGUGACGGCCUGGGCCGCCUCCAACGUCUGCGGCUUCUCUGUGGGACAAGAUGAGGAGUGGGGCGGGAGGGUGUUGGAUGACGGUUUUGUGGGGGACGGCAGCCCUCUCUCCUGCACACCUCCGCCCCGCCCAACCCUUCCAAGCCCUUCCAGCCCAGCGCACCUUCCUCCUCCUCCUCCUCGGCCGCCACUCCGCCGUUGCCCUCGUCCACGCCCGGAUCCUCCAGUCCGCCUCCUCCUCCUCCUCCCCCGCCCUCCGCGUUGUCUGCCUCCUCGUCGUCUGCCAGCACGCCCUUGGCAUCCAGCGCCGCGUACUCGCCCGCCUUGGCGCCCGCGGCCGCCGCCUUCUUGGCGGCGCGGGAGCGCACCUGUGCGCAGGGAGGUAGAGCGGGCGCGGGUGCGGUGGCGAGUGGUGGGUGGCGGGGAAGGGCAAGGUGGAGACUUGAGGCUGAGGCUCGGGCCCAUUACCCCUCCCCCCUGCUGUUUCCCCAAGAUUGCCUACCGUCAACCAUGUCCGAAUCAUGAAUGUAUCACCAACCCCUUCCCCCCACACACAAGUGGGCGGGCUUUCGUUUCGAUGUUUCAAACACAAGCCCGCGCUCACCUUUUCCAGCGCCGCCAUCUCGGCCGGCGUGGGCUCCACCAGCCCGCUCACGCCGCCCGCCAGCACGCCGCCCAUCCACUCGGCGUAGGGCGGCUUGGGCCGGUACAGGCAGCGGCGGCUGAUGGCGGAGUGGAUCAGGUUGGCCCAGUGCGGGUCCACCUGAGGGGAUGGGUGGAGGGUUACAUUCAUGAUGAGCUAAGGAACUGGUAGACGGUAGGCAAUCUUGGGGGGGAGGAUUAUAGGGGGGUAUAGGGGCACAUGGUAAUGAAGCAGAGAAGUAGAGCGCCGGGUACAGCGGGUGGUGUAGCAAGGGGUUCCGGGCACCGGUAUGUGACUACUCAGGUGAGAUGGCGGUGCUGAGAUGGCGGGGGAGGGGGGUAAGGUUGCACUGGGUGGGUGGUGGGUUGAGGGGGCGGGAGGUGUGGGAUGCAGGCCAGGGUGUAAAGCUCCUCCCCACCCCUCCCCCUCCCCCUCCACCGCGCCCUCCCUUCCCCUCGCCCUUCCCUCCACCCGCACCCCCACCCCUCAGCACCGCACCUGCAGCGCGCGCACGUUGCCGAUCACGAUGAGGCUGCAUCGCGCGCGCGUGAGGCCCACGUUGAUGCGCCGCUCGUCGGCCACGAAGCCGAUGCCGGCGCGCCGAGCGCCCUUCUUGGGGGCGGGCGGCGAGCGCACCGCGCUGAAGAUGCAAAUGUCCUUCUCGCGACCCUGGGUGGUGCAGAGAUAAAUGUGUGUGUGUGUAGGCGAGGACGUAGGUAAAGAAAUGGUGUGUGUUGGGUUUGAGGGUGGUGGUGGUGCAGGGUAGCCCCCAAGGGUGUUGGCACUUGCAAGCCUUGCUCGAAGCCCAACGAACAGGUCCCAGCGCCUGUACUGGGAAGACCUGGCAGCAGUCGACUGGCCACUUUCCCCCUUAGGGUUUGGUCCUUGUAGCCCUUCCCCUCCUCCCCUCCUCCCCUCAUGCACGGCCACUUCCCCAGCUACCUCCCCACACAGGUCGCCUCCGCACCUGGAACCCGUCAAUGGUGUUGAUGUCCACCAGCCGCGCCGCCUCCUCACCCAGGGCCGUCUUGAACGAGUCCCGCAGCAGCUUUACCUGCGGGGUGGGGGGUUACAUUCAUGAUUAGUUAAGGAAGUGGUAGCAGCUUUACCUGCGGGGUGGGGGGGUGGGGGGUGGCAGCGAGACAUCAGGAGGGGCAGCAAGAGGGGGGCAGCAAGCGAUAAGGGUAGGACAGCGAGAGGCAAUAGCCGUUCGGGGGGGGGGGGGGUUACAUUCAUGAUUAUUCAAGAAGUGAAGGCGGGGGCCGGAAAGCUCAAGCCGCCGACGUCCAGUGGGGGCGAGCUACCACGCGAAGCGCCCCAGCAUACCGCCAUGCCCUCCCUCUUCCCUCUCGCCCUUCCCUUUUCCCCCCUCCCCCGCUCCCGUGCAGCCCCGCUCCAGCGCCCACCUGCGCCUUGUAGGGCGAGAUGACGGCCACACUGGCGGUCCGCCUCAGCUGCGGGUAGGCGUGCACCAACUCGCGGUACAGCACCAACACCAUGUGGGCCUCGGCCUGGAGGUGGGUGGAGGCGGGCGGAGGCGGGAUGACGUCAGGACGUGAGGUGAGGAGGGGUGAAGUGGGGACGGUAAAACUCGCCCAAGCAAACAUAACCACGCACGCACGAUCACUAUCACACAAAUCAUGCACUGCACACACGGCAUACAGCGGUGCUUCCUGAUCGCAACACCGCGCGCCCGCUGCCCCACACCCGCCUUGUUCAUGAUGGACGCGCCGCCGGGCGGAGUGCUCUCGCGGCCCGCCACGUCGUAGAAGGCGAAGGGGCCGAAGGCGGGCUGGCUGUGCCAGGGCUGGACCGUCUCUUGCAGCACACCCUGCAGGCGCCAGGGUGCGGGCGGGAGGUGAGGUGGGGGGGGGGCGUUGGGUGGGGGGAGGAGCGGUGGGAGCGGGUUUGUAAGGUGGCGGGUGAGGCGAGGUUGGUUUGGCAUCAUCUACCCCCCGAAAACACACACACACACACACACACACACACACACACACACACACACACACACACACACACACACACACCUCGCCGUUGAGCAGUCGGCCGUCGUAGAACUCGGCGGAGGGGAAGGCGCUGAUGUCGGGGUGCAUGCGGUACUGCGUGUCCAGGAUCUUGACGGGGUAGCCCGCGGUCUGGUGUGGGGGAGGAGAGGGGAGCGGUAGAGGGAAGCGUUCAGGGCUUGAGUUUGGGAGGAUAGGGAGCCACGCGCGAGCGGUCAGCAAACACAUACGGUAGCCAUUCAAUCCUCUGGGCAGGCCACUGCGGCACCCCUCCGCGCCACCGCCUCAGCCCCUGGCUUCUCACACCUGCAGCCCUCGCACUCACCAGCCCCGCCCCCCGCACCCCACCCAUACAUCCGCCCCCACUGCACACCAAACCGUGCACACACGCCCACCCGCCAACCCAACACACACGCGCCCCCUCCUUUCCCCUCCUCUCCCCUCCCCUCCUCUCCCCACCCCUCCUCCUUCCCCCCUGCUGCCCCCUCCCCCCACCUGCAGCCUCUUGAACAGGCUGCAGUCGUAGCCCUGCUCCACGGCCCGUGUGGCGAUGACAGUGGCGGGCAGCUGCACGGGGUCACCCACCAGGUAUACCUGCAGGGCGGAGGGAGGGGAUGGAGGGGAGGGAGGCAGGGAGGUUCCAGCGUGGGGUUGCAGGCAUUGCUAGCGAGGAGAAGGCGAUGUGAAAGGACGUUGCACAGACUCCAUACCUGCACAUACUUACACAUGGACUACAAUGGCACCCCAAAACCACACGCACACACACACACACACACACACACACACACACAUCUCUUACUACAGCGCACCCAUCACACACAGACACACAACUUCUACUACAGUGCAUCCAUCACACACAUACACACGACACCCUACACACACACGCACACACGCACGCGCCCCCCCCCACCCACCUGCUUGCAGCCCAUGGUGAGCGGCACCAGGGUGGACGGCUCCACGGCCUGCGCCGCCUCGUCGAUCACCACCACGUCGAACUUGCGGCUGCCGGGGGGGAGGGGUGGCGGGGGGGGGGGGGGGUUGCAAGGAUUGGUACAAAGAAAUGUAGCGAAGUAGACAGCAGGUGUGAUAUUGCCCUUCCCCUGUCCCUUAGCUUUCCCUUUCCCUCUCCUCCCUCCCGGCCCCCUCCCAGCCCCCUCCCAGCCCAUCGCACAUAACCACCUCCCUUGCCUCCAUCUCUUCCCCAUCCCUCCCCCCCUCUCCUCCCUCCCAGCCCCCCCGCGCCGCCCCUGUCCCACCUGAGCCUGUAGAACACGGAGCUGCCCGCGAAGGACAGUGUGGAGCACACGAUGUUGGCCUCGUCCAGGAUGGCCACCCGCAUGCGGUCGCGCUCCUGGGCGCCCGUCUUGCCGCCCUGCAGGGUUGGAGGGGGAGGAGGGGGAGGGGGAGGAGGGGAGGCGAGGAGAGGUUUCGAGGUUAGUGCGGUAGAGCAAGGCACAGCGGGAGGCCCGAGAGGGCAGGAGAGAAGGUUGUGACGGGUGUGAAGGGUGUAGUGGCGAGCAGCCUUUGUGGCCCUACCCCGAUCGCGCCCGCCCCCAGCCCGCGCCCCCACCUUGUCUCCGCCCGCUCCGCCCAGCCCCCCACCUUGUCUCCUCCCGCUCCGCCCAGCCCCCCCCCCACCUUGUCUCCUCCCGCUCCGCCCAGCCGGCUGUCCACGAUGUUGUCCAGGCUCACUGCCGCCACACUGUGCACACGUAAGGGGUCGGGUGGCGGGGGGAACGGCGAGGUCAGGGCAGUGGGAACAGGGUCAGAGCCGUGCGAGCAGCUGGUGGGGCAGGGGGGCAGUCAGCGUCACGCAGGGGUUGGCCGAGACCCAGAAGGCGAGCGAGGCGAGGUGGUGGCAGGUGUUAUGGUGUUCAUCUCUUUGACACAAAGGAAGCGGAGCCGCGACUUCCUACAACCCUGCGGUCCACCCGCCAUCUCCAGCCCCCACCCCCAUGCCUCCACCUCCACUCCGGACUCUCCGCCCCUGCCCCGUGCCUCCUAACCCCGCAUGCCUGCUGCCCCUGUCAACCCCCCGGCCCCCUUCGCUCCCCGCCCCCCAUCCCCACCUGUGGUGGCUCCGCACUCCCACCCGCACCAGGCUGGGCGCGAAGUUGGCGCCGUCCUUGUCCAUCAGGCCCGAGCGCAGAAUGCUGCGAGGGGGGCGGGGAGGGGAGGGGAGGGAGACGGGGCGCCGGCGGAGGAGGGAGGCGGAAGAGGGAAGGUUGAGGCCACUGCCACUGCGAGGAUAACGUAACGUUAAAGCCCCCACGACGAAGCAAUACUACCGUUGAUCGACCCCAUUUCAAUCCUGACGACGGCUCCAGUGCAGGUGCCGCCGGGCCGCCUUCCUCUGCCCCUCACGCACGCACACACGCACGCCCUCACGCACCGCAUCACGAUCUCGUCCAGCGCGCUGUUGGAGGGCGCGCACACCAGCACGUGCGCCUUGGGGCCCAUGGCGCGGCCCACGCGCUGGGCCACCACCCGCCGCAGCAGGCCGAAGCAGUCGUCGUGGACUGGCGGGUGGGAAGGGAGGGAAGGAGGGAGGGGGCCAGGGAGGUCGGGUUGGGUUUGGAGGAUGUGGGUGGCCGUGUGGCUGUGUCCCAUACACACAUACACACACAACUUUGUCAACCCUGACCCAUGGAUCUUCCAAACACACACACACACACACACACACGCCGCACACACACACGUACACACACAUGCCGUACACACAACCCGCACCCGCAGACGCACCUGCCCCGGGCGGCAGUGGGUCGUAGGGCGUGACGCGGUCGCGCACGUUGCCCGUGUCCGCCGCGCCGUCGGGGCCCGGCAGCAGCCGCCCCGCCAGCCAGGGGCACUGCGCCGCCACCAGCUCGGAGCGCUCGGACGGGUCCAGCGGGAGCAUGGCGGCCACGCCUGCGUGUGUAUAAGCGUGUGUGCGUGUGUGUUAAAAAAUGAAACGAAAGCCCGCCCCAUAAGCGUGUGUGUGUGUGUGUGUGUGUGUAUUAGGAAAGACGAGCAAAUGUAUGUUAAAAACGAAACGAAAGAGAAUGUGUGUGUGUGUCAAAGAGCACAAGGAAAACAGAGUGUGUGUGUGUGUGUGUUGGUUUGGGGUGACACGGAGUUAAGAUGGGGCGAUUGAAGUGCGCGUGUGCCACUGUGCCGGCCGUGCACUGCCCCUUGCAAUGAGCGUGUACCCUCAUACUUGCAGAAAUAUGUAAUCAUGGUUAAGAUCAUCUUGAGAGAAAGAUGAAUGAAUUUUGUGUAUAAUCAUUGGGUCGAUUCGGUGCGUGAAGCUAGCGGCGGCACAUCCGCACACGUGCAUUACUGCCAGCAGGCGAUGUGGUGCAGACAUGAGUGGGACAGAUGUUUGGUGCGCUGUGUUGCCGCGAUGCGCUGCGUGUGUGCACGUGAGGCUGUCAUUCAGUGCACGCAAGCAACGGUACGUCCAUUGCAAUUCCUUGGCAUCCCUCAUAUUUGCAGAAAUAUGUAAUCACGGAUAGAUCAUCUUGAGAGAAAGAUGAAUGAAUUUUGUGUAUAAUCCUUGGGACGGACUGCAACUGCAUGCUCAAAUUUGAAUGUAAUCCGUGAGGCCAGUUCUGUAUGGGCAUGGCAGAUAUGGCUAUGGCGUGGACAGGCUGGCGCACGAUGGGGGUGCAACUGUGAGCAGCAACCCGCUGUUCUUCCCUCAUAUUUGCAGAAAUAUGUAAUCACGGAUUAGUCAUCUUGAGAGAAAGAUGAAUGAAUUUGUGUAUAAUCCUCGGGACAGGCUGUAAGAGUACACACUGGAAUGCGGCAUGCGUGCACACCAACUAAACCUAACGCGUUGUUUAUGCAGACAUGGCGUAGGAGCUGGUGUGGUGUGUGGCCGGGUCAGGGACUUUCGGGGAUGCCAAGGAGAGCGUUGCUGGUGAGACUGCGUGCCAAAGGUACCUUCCACCUUUCCUCAUAUUUGCAGAAAUGGGUAAUCACGUAUUAGUCAUCUUGAGAGAAAGAUGAAUGAAUUUGAGUAUAAUCCUCGGGACAGGCUACGAGAGCACACACUCGAAUGCGGCAUGCGUGCGCACCAACCAAAUCUUAUGCAGUGUUGGUGCAGACGUGGCGUUGGGUAAUCUGGCGUGGUGUGUGGCCGGGUCAGGGACUUUCGGGGCUGCCUAGGAGAGCGUUGCUGGCGAGACUGCGUGCCGAAGGUACCUUCCGCCUUCCCUCAUAUGUGCAGAGAUAUGUAAUCACGGAUAAAUCAUCUUGAGAGAAAGAUGAAUGAAUUUGAGUAUAAUCCUCGGGAUGGAAGAGGCAACGGGUCCGACGCAGGCAUGAGGGUGCAGUUGCUGGAACCAAAUGCCCACACUACACUUGCAAGCCAUCAUCCCGAAUGCUGAGUGCCGCCCGAGUGCCGCCGGGUUCCGACUGCCUCCCCCCGGGGAUGGCUAUCGGUGGGUGGGGGCAUGAUGCGAAGCCAACUGGGGUGAAUGGGGUGCAGAGUGGCGUGUGCGGUGCGUGUGGCCGUGCGUAAUGAGUGCAGCGGCGUCGGUGCACUUAUUUCCGGGGCAUCCCUCAUAUGUGCAGAGAUAUGUAAUCACGGGUAGUCAUCUUGAGAAGAUGAAUGAAUUUCGUGUAUAAUCCUUGGGAGUUGGAGCCAAUUGGGCAAGGCAGCCGCUGCAGAUGCACAUGCGGAUGCGGGCGCUGUCGCUCACACACGACCCCUGUCAACUGAAGCUCCCCGCGGCACGCACCUGCCCCAACCGUGAAACCCACACCCGGCCCUCGCACACCCCCACCCCCAGCCCACACCCGGCCCUCACACGCAUCCAAACCCAAGCACGCACCCGUCACGCGCCCGCCAUCUGCCGCCGCGGCGGCGGCCGACGCCGCCGCGGCCGCCGCUGACGCCUGCAGCAGCGCAAUGCUGGACUUGUUGGCUGAGUGCAUAAUUACACUCAGCAGGUUGAGGAUGGUGCGCGUCUUGCCGGUGCCGGGCGGGCCCUGCGCAGCGGAAGAGCGGUUCAUGGAGAGGAGAGCGAGGACGUCACAAGUAUGAAGGGGAAGAUAAUGGCAGAAGCCAUGACAAUCGAGGUGAGGGCGCGCGGGCCGGUGUGUGAGAGCGUGCGUCAUGAGGGCAGCGGCGUCGGUGCACUGAUUUCCGAAGCAUCCCUCAUAUUUGCAGAAAUAUGUAAUCACAGGUAGUCAUCUUGAGAGAAAGAUGAAUGAAUUUGUGGUAUAAUCCUUGGGAGUUGGAGCCGACCAGCCAAAGUAGCAGAUGCACAUGCGGACGCGGACGCUGUCGCCCAAACAUGACUCUUGUCACCUGGGUCACCACUGUCACCAAUACCCCCACCCACCCCCACCCCACCCACCUGGAUGAGCACCACGGGCGUGCCGUCCAGCCCUGCCUGCAGCGCCGACAUCUGGGAGGGGUUGCACUCGCGCUCCAUGGCCGCCUUCAUGCCGGGCGGGAUGUCCAGGUGCUUGGAGGCGGGCGCGGCGCGAGACUUGGCUGCGCGGCGGCGGGUGCAGAAGGUGGGGGCGGGUGCAGCAGGGGUAACGGGGAGGGUGUGGGGGAGGGAGAGGGCGCGUGCACGGGUUAAAUUGAAGCACGGGUACCACAGAAACACGCGCCAACUGAAUCGUGUGCAGACCCCAUCGCGCCGCCUCCCCCCCCCCGCAGUCCUCACCGCUGAUGAGUAUGUCCAUGAAGGGCACGAGGUGUGCGUGCUGCAGCGCCACCCACUCGCGCGUGAUGGUGCUGAUGUUGCCCAGCCGCAGCAGCCACCAGCAGCUGCUGGGCGUGCACAGGCCCGUGGUCAUGGCCUUGGCGCUGUGGGGGUGGGCGAGAGGGGAGGAGGGCAGGGUCGUUUAGUCCAACUCAACGUAAUUAAGACCUCGGCCAAGACCCAGGACCAGCGCACCGAGCGGGGAGGAGGGGAGGAGGAGGGGCAGAGGCAGUCGGUUGCAAUCUAGUCGAGCCUUGCACGAUCAGCGCUGUAGUCUCCGAGGGCCUUGCAGGCGAGCCUUGCGUUGGCGAGGUACCGCCAGCGCCAACCACAUACACGAACACACACACAAGGGGUUUCAACUCACACACACACACACAUACACACACACAUCCGUCCCACACGUGCCCUUCCAAAUAGGUUACGGCGCCCGCCCGCCCACCCGCCCCCCACCCGCCUCACCGCUGCAUGCCCUUGACGUUCCCGGCCUGGCUGUCGGGCGACAGGAAGAACUUGAUCCGCAGCACCUGCUGCCCCUCGUGCGCCUCACAGAAGCCCAGGGCGUGCAGGCUGGUGUUCACGUUCUCGGCCUAAGGCAGGGGCGCAGUGGGGAGCGGUGGGAAAGCCGUCAGCGGCAGGCGCUUCAUAACAAGGACACACACACAUUCGAUGCGCGCACGAACACACAGUCACACAGACACACAGACAGACACACCAUGUGCACACACCUGCUACAGGAACGUGCACACACCAGCGAACACCGGCACGCGCGCCGACCCGUACCUCGGGGUUCUCCUUGCAGAUGAGCACCAGGUCGUUGUCCGUGUACAGGUCAGUCACACCCGACUGCGGUCAGGGGGUUCCAGGGUGGGGUGGAGAGUGAGGCGGGCAGGGCAGGUAAGAUGUUCUGUGGAGGUGGCGCUGGUGGCAGCCCCGCCCGACCAAGGCGAUUCCAUCCAGCGAAAUGCCCAUGCCGAUGUGCUGCUCAAGGCUGCCAUGCGGUACGCCGCACUCGGUGAUGCAGCUCCGCACAACCUCGCGCAAACAUCCGCGCCCAUCACCAACGUAACCACACACGCACACACCUGCAUCACCAGCCUCGUUACAAGGAAGUCUUCUCGCUGUGGGGGCACGGUGUCACGGGCCAGGGGCACAGGGAGCGAGUUAAGACUCAGGACUCCCGACGUGCCGCGAGCCCAGCCCUCCCCACCAUGUGUUCCCCCCUCUUCUCCCCUCUCUCCCCAACACAUCACCCAUCUUCUCCCCUCUCUCCCCAGCACAAUCCCAGCCCUGAUCCCUUUCCUCCCUGCCCCCCUGCUGCCCCCACUGCCCGCCUCCCUCUCCCUGCUGCCCACCUCCCUCUCCCUGCUGCCCCCAUGCCGCCCGCUCUCCCUUCCGCCUCGCUGCCCUCACGUGUUCCGAGUUGGCCACCACCGUGGGGUGCGGCGUCAUCACCUCGCCCUCCUCCACGCCGCGCAUGAUCUGCGCGCAGCACUCCUCCAGCAGCAACGGCUCCAUCACCGACACGUACUCCUGCGGGGGGGGUACAUUAAUGAGUAGUUAAGGAAGUGGGGGGCGGGCCACGGCGCCGCCAGUGAGGGGGAAAGACAGUAUCGAUUGAGACGUAGUAAAGUGGUGCGGUGCGGCGCAGUGCGGUGCUAAGGUAGCGUGGCUAGAAGCGCAAGGCUGGGGGCGCGUGGCUUGGGACUGAGGGAUCGUGCGGACGUCAGGGGCCCAGGCGCUGACAGGCCUGGCACCCGCCAGCGGCACAGGGGUCCCACACCAUUUCCCUGCUGUCACCUCUGGGCCCAUAAGAACCAGCAGCUGCCUUGGCCCCCGCUGCAGCCCCAGGCACGCCACACUGCGCACGUGCACACAACCCUCCUCGAACACCCACACGCGCGCCACCGCAUCCCAGCGCCCACCACCCCGCCGCGCCCCCUUGCCCCUGCCUCUCCUCUCCAUGCCACACACCACCCCCAUCGGCCCCCACGACCCCUCCCGCCCCCAUCCCUCCCCCACCAUCCCGGCCUCCCCCCUGUGCGCUUCCCCCCUGUACCUUUAUGUUUGCAAAGGUCUGCGGCACGGGCCGCAGCUCCUCGUACACGCCGCCGCCCUCGUCCACCUUGCCCCACAGGUCGAAGUAGUCCCAUGCCAACAGGAUCUUGUGCAGCGCCUGCUGCGAACCCACCGCGUCCACCAUGGGGUGCGGCUGAGGCGCGGCUGAGGUGCUGCGGCAAGGCGGCUAGCCAGCUGCUAGGUAGGCAGCUAGGUGGGCUGCAGGGCUGCUUGAUUUGGGUGCUAGCGGCGCCCCCUCCUAAUGGCCUGCUGGCCCGCUAAGCUACAGUACGGGGCUGCUCCGCCUUCAGCUGCGGGCGCCUGGUUGGGCCCAGCCCCACGGGCCCAGGCGUGGCGUGCGCCCAGAGCGCCCAAGGGCACCGCCCCAGGCCUGCGGAAGCGCCCUGCGCUGAUCACUGCCCUGCUCGCCGCCCAGGCUGGAACCCGCCUGGGGGCUCCUUACAGCUGCGGCUGUACCGCGCUACUGGAGUUGCAGGGGUGGCGCGGCGCCGGGUGCCGUCCGAAACUCAGCCGGCGUGGCACCGAGGCACGCGCCAGCCCUCCUCGCCACCAAUACUUUACAAGUGCUUUCUGAUGGUCAUGUAGAAGCUUCUCGCCCGUCAAGCAGGCUGCGGCCCGGCGGCAGUCUUGCCCGUCUCGGCGGCGCCCGCUCGGAGCCAACCGCAGUGUACUAUACUCCAAUGACAAUUGCUAUUGGCAAGAAUGAAGCUCCGCAAAUGGAAAUGCGACUUGGAUGGGCCUGGUCUGAUUUCAGUCUCCCAAGCUCUUGCAAUCUUGCAUGUGCUGCCCUUACACAGUAUAGACGAGUAUUAAGAUCAAGUCACGAAUCAUAUAAAUUGGUUGCAAAGGCCAGCACUCGUGUCCACUCAGCCUCCUGGUUCCAUAGAUUUCGACUUGGCGCGACAGAUAGCAUCCAGGGCUAGAUAGACCCUAUCAGUCCCGCAAGAAUAUUUUGCAGGCCUUCUGUGAGCAGCAUGCCAAAGCCCCAGGUCCCGUGCAGGGCGAGCGAGGUGGCGCCCCAAUCUUUUGCCCCACCAGCUGAAAUUGCCACCAGAAUGGUCGCCACAGCACCCACAUGCUGCAAUGUAAAUAGUGCUGCAACAAGUCGGCCAGUAGCUGACUUUUCUGCGCGGGCGGUCGCAUGCUUGAAGUAAAGGAUUGCCAGAAUGACGUGCCCUGCACCGAUGCCCCGCAUGAUCAUGUCAUAAUCGGCGAGCGCGACGGCUCCAGAGGCAGUCAUGGCAGCUGUCGCCGAUGGGAAGAGCCCGCGAGGGUUGGUCAGCAAGGUAACCCCCGUCAACCCUUCCAGUAGGCAGUGUGAGUAUUAAAGCACGCGCUUGAUGAGUAGCCGAGCCAUUAUGGCGAAGAAUGCAAUUGAACAGCAAGUAGUUGGAAACUGAGCUGGCGCGCUUCAGGUGUGGCGUCCACUCUUGUGGCGUCCACUCUUAUGCGGGGAAAUGUUAGGGUGUCAUGAAUUGCGCACUAUGUGCAACCGUAAGAGUGCCGUGCAAGUUGGCUGAAUUGCACGCGUGGAAUGACCGCAUCGCGCCAUGACCAUGGGGCCCAUACGGGGCACAGCGGCAGUGGCCCAAUUCGCGGUGAGAGACGCGCAUGGAGCGUGGAGGAGGGGAGCGUUGCACAGGGCAUCGUGCGUGGCCGUACCCCUUCCGGUACGGACGUCGGCCGGUUCACCCACGCUCAGUCCACCACCUUCCCAUCGCCCAGCCCGUCCACGCGGGUACCACUCUGGUCUUUUGCUGUGUCCAAACUUUGACAGCCUGGUAGACCCAACAGGUAUCAUCUGACAAGACCGCCAGCAUACCCACGGC
RNAcentral lists this long non-coding RNA (48501 nucleotides) under Chlamydomonas reinhardtii. RNAcentral describes it as "long non-coding RNA (CREI_LNC000490)". Lineage: Eukaryota; Viridiplantae; Chlorophyta; Chlorophyceae; Chlamydomonadales; Chlamydomonadaceae. The record is from RNAcentral.